This 83664-nucleotide long non-coding RNA is filed under the name Nicotiana tabacum (common tobacco). Its description in RNAcentral is "long non-coding RNA (NTAB_LNC004243)". Lineage: Eukaryota; Viridiplantae; Streptophyta; Magnoliopsida; Solanales; Solanaceae. The record is from RNAcentral.
UUUAUAUCACUUUAAUUCUCUAAAGCCUUAUUUACUAGAAAAUUAGUCAUGGAUUAAACCAAAAAGAAUUCUAGGAACCAACUCAAUCUCAAAAAUACCAAAAGAUGUGACUAAAAGUAGGAUUAUGAGCCUCAUUUUACCGAUUUAUUCUGAGGAAUAGGCUAUUCUAAUGUUAAAAGAAAGAACUAAAAUAACAGUCAUAAGCAUCUUGUUCAAUUUUUAAAACAAUUUCCAAAGACAACUUUCCGCACAUUCCAUGUUUGGGAGCAGAAUCACUAAGCAAAGCAAAGACCAUAACAUAAGUUAGGAUAAGUUUUAAUAAGAAUCGAUAACACAAAUGCAAAGUUAAUCUCCCUAAAUGGCCCUUUCAAUGCUUGAUUCACCAUAAAACAACGAGCAAAUAGAAUAAGAAAAGAGAUGAACCUAAAUGAGGUUUCAAUUAAUUUGUUGAAGAUUGCAAUUACAAGCGAAACUGAUAUCAAAAUCAUUGAAGAACCAAUAAACUUCAAACCGAAACCACUGGAUUUAAACCUUGAACGAUAGCCAACAACGGUGAUGAGCUUGAAAGCACUCCUCCUCAAUCAAAUUCCAUCCUUGAAAUUAAAUCUUGAAAUCAAAGGAAGAAGCAGGAAUGUAUUUUUGUUUUUUUCCUUCUGAAAUCUAAAAUAAAGAAAAACCUGAAAAUCCGAAAAUGAAUCUCAAAGAAAGAACCCUAGCUUUUCCUCUCUCUCAAACCUUUUUUUUUAAAAAAUCUUCUCCGAAAUUUUCUUCUUGAACCCUCUCCUUGUGUCCAAAAACCUCCAAAUAUAUACCUCACUCUCGAAUCUUCUUCUUUUUCACCAAGAAAACGCGUGGGACCACAAAACAAAUCCAAAAAUCCCUUCAAUGGACGAGAUAAGACAAAUGGAGGGAGUAGAUCGAGUGUAACUCGAUCCUACGCACCCCAUUUUUCUAUUCUGGCCUAAAAGAAACAAAUUCGGAAAAAGAAAAAUGAAGAGAAAAACAAGUGAAAAUAAUGAAGCUUGGUACUGAAUGUGUGAUGUGGAAGAAGGAGAGAAGAAAAGGGGGGACCAUGAAUGAGAUUGGGGUGGAGUUAUGGUGGGUUUGGGUGUUGUUGAAUGGCAGUGAAGCUUAGAGAUUGGGGGGGCUGGUUGGGAUCUCUUUAGGUUUAGAGUUGUGACAAAAAAAAUCUUUAUAUGGGGUAGGGAAUAAACAAGGGUCGUUGAAUUUAACUAGAUCAAGGGCUGAGAUUAAUCUAAGAGGGCUAAUGGGUUAUGGGCUGGAAGGCAUCGAGUCAGGCAAUUUGGGCUAUGGGGUGUUGGAAUUGAGUGGAAGAUCUGGAUUGGGCCUUAUGAAAUUCUUGUUGAACAAAAAACAAAAAGCAAAACGAAAAAAAUGAAAAUCCUACAAACAUAUUAAUUAAUCUUAGUUAAUUAAAUAUACUAUUAAAACUAUUAUUAUUAUUAUUAUUAUUAUUAUUAUUAUUAUUAUUAUUUAUAUUUUCAAACAUUAUAUUAAUAUAAAAUUUAGAAAGAGUAGAUUAAAAGUUAUGGUAAAGCUAAAUUAAUAUCACUAUUGAAGUGUUGAUGAUCUUAUACUAAAAUGAAAAAUAUAAUAAGAUGAGAAAUAUUAUAAAUAAAACUAUCCUUGUAUUUUUGACUUUAUAUUCUAAAAUUUAAAAUAAGAGUAUAUUAGAAUCUAAUUAGAAUAAUCCAAGUAAAUAUAUUAAAAUACUAAAGAUACUAAACUAACUUUAAAAGUGCGCGAGUCAAAAAUUAUGUGCUUACAGUUGCCCCUCUUUGCAUGAAAACUCGAAGAGUUUUUGAGCAAAGAAUUAAGUAAGCAACGUAAUUGAGUUCUGACCCGGCACUUAUUCAAAAGAAGAUAAAGAUGGAUAAAGAUUGCGACCGAGCCCUGGUAUCUGAGCUGCCUGCAUAUCCUUGGCUAUAAAGGAAUCAAGUCACGUGUAGUUCAGAAGUAAAAAGAGUGUAGAAGGAUACCGAGGUGGAGAGCCGAGUGAAGUGUCGUCGAGGUUCCGGUCCGCGGUUCCUGUCAUUACAUCAAAAAUAAAAGAAAAAUACAAGAUCAUAUCUACUUCUUGUCUUGAAUCUUCUUUGAAUUUCUACUUGAUCUUUCAACAUGAAACUGAAAAAUGGACCCUGUUCUUCAGGCGGGCUCCUGAUGCUUCUCUGACUUGAACUUGGAAAUUAAAAUUGACCCUGUUCUUCAGGCGGGUUCCUGAUGUCUCUUGAAUUUGAGAAUCGAAAGUAACUUUGAAAUGAAUUUCCUUAUUUUCCAGGUAGGUGCCUGAUUACCAAAACUUGAACUGUAUUCCCUUGUUCUCCAGGUGGGCGCCUGAUUGCAAAACUUGAAUUGUACUCCCUUGUUCUCUAGGUNNNNNNNNNNNNNNNNNNNNNNNNNNNNNNNNNNNNNNNNNNNNNNNNNNNNNNNNNNNNNNNNNNNNNNNNNNNNNNNNNNNNNNNNNNNNNNNNNNNNNNNNNNNNNNNNNNNNNNNNNNNNNNNNNNNNNNNNNNNNNNNNNNNNNNNNNNNNNNNNNNNNNNNNNNNNNNNNNNNNNNNNNNNNNNNNNNNNNNNNNNNNNNNNNNNNNNNNNNNNNNNNNNNNNNNNNNNNNNNNNNNNNNGGGUCCUGAAAAGCCGAGAAUGAACUUACCUGAGCCAUGCUCUCUUCUUGGAGGAUUCUAAACAGAAUUUUUUGCCCCUGAACCAUGCCUUCUUCAUGGGGGGUCCCUGUGGAUUAACAAAUUUUCUUGCCCCUGUUUGAGACAAAUAAAAUUUUGUUAGUUUGAAAACUUGGUGGUUAGUUUGUGGCAUCAUUGCUGAGUGUCUGCUUCUGCUACCGCCAUGCUUCAUUCUGAUUAGCUGCUUCUGGCUAGCAAGGAGUUGUUUGAGCUUUUGAUUGGAACUGGACCACAAAACCUCUAAAUGACCUGAAUCUCUUACACUCACUUGUUGCAUUGUGUUUUCAUUCUGAAAGUUGCUGAAUCACUGUAUUUUCUCAAAAUUCAAGAUUUAUUUGAUUGCCUGAACCUCAGUUAUCACCAUACUGCUUAUUCUAAAUCAUGUCAAUUGUGAUGUGCUUGGCCAAACACCGCUUUGUGCAAUUUAGAAGGUGGUAGUAGUCUUUGGAAUCCUUUCCUGCUUGUUCAACAAGGGCUAACUCGAAAGAGACUCAUAAAGAUAGACUCAAAGAGCAAAGUGAAAUGAUUUUGGCAAAAGGAACAAAAGAAAAUUUUGAACACAAAUGACUAUGUGAAGAAGAAGGGGAAAAAGAAGACUUAUCUGAGUGAAGCGGCUAGCUCCAAUGAUCAUGACAUGCAUUUAGGAUUGAUCAGCCUAAUCCAUCCAACCAAUCAUAUUUCCAGUUCAUGUCAUGUCUUCAUACUUCAAAAUCGGGCUUUUACUGAUCCAAUUUCUCUGUAAAGUCACGAGCCUCAUUCGACUUGUAGUGCCUACGUAUCCUUAAAAGGCUGCCUACGUAUCCUUAAAAGGAAUCCGGUCGAACGUAGUUCAAACAAAAGUUGUUUGUUUUUGUUGCUUUUAUUUCUUCCUUUUCAUUUUUUUUCUUCUUCUUUUUCUUCUCUUUUUUUUCCUUUUUUCUUUCUUUCUUCUUCUUUUUUUUCUUUUUCUUUUUCUUUUUUUUUCUUCAUUUUUUUUCAUCAUUUUUUUCAUUCUCUAAAUCUGUAACUGAUUUCAAAAGAGGGGUAUGAAAGAAAAUAAAUAAGGCUCAAAAGGGGUAACAAAGCAUGAAAGUGUUUGGGUUGCAGAACAAAAUGACUUCGUCAUUUCAACUUUGACCAUGCCAAGUACAAAAUACAAUUGAAGGUAAGCAAAGCAAUCAUACAUAGUACCUCUUAACUGCAUCAGUAUUGAUAGCCAUAUCUACAUAUUUGUCUUCUAUGUCUGUUAAAUACAAAGCGCCAUUGGGAAACACUCUUGUCACAAUGAAUGGCCCCUGCCAGUUUGGGGCGAACUUGCCUUUAGGUUCCACCUGAUGAGGAAGGAUGCGUUUCAAUACCAUCUGGCCCACUUCAAAUAUUCGAGGACACACCUUUUUGUUGUAUGCUCUUGCCAUUCUCUUAUGAUACAAUUGACUAUGGCAUACUGCAGCCAAUAUUUUCUUAUCAAUCAAACUCAACUGUUCAGUCGGGUUUUGACCCAGUCAUCAUCAUCAAUUUCAGCUUCUGCAACGAUCCGAAAGGAUGGAAUUUCAACUUCCGCAGGUACAACUGCCUCAGUUCUAUAUACCAUCAAAUAAGGAGUUGCUUUUGACCCACUCAUCAUCAUCAAUUUCAGCUUCUGCAACGUUUCGAAGGGAUGGAAUCUCAACUUCCACAGGUAUAACUGCCUCAGUUUCAUAUACCAGCAAAUAAGGAGUUGCACCUAGUAGUGUGAUAACCCAGUAAGGCAACUUUUCAUGCCAUUGCCUGAACCUUUCACCACCGUACGAAGUAUCUUCUUUAUGUUCUUGUUAGCAGCCUCAACAACUCUAUUUGCCUUGGGGCGAUACGUAGUGGAGUUUCGAUGCAUGAUCUUGAACUGCUGGCAUACCUCUUUCAUCAAAUGACUGUUGAGAUUAGCAGCAUUGUCUGUUAUGAUCACCUUGAGAAUUCCAAACCGACAAAUGAUAUUUGAAUGAUCAAAAUCCACCACUGCCUUCUUGGUCACGGACUUGAAAGUUACAGCUUCGACCCACUUGGUAAAGUAAUCAAUGGCCACCAGAAUAAACCUAUGCCUGUUUGACGCUACCGGCUCAAUUGGUCCAAUGACAUCCAUGCCCCAAGCAACAAAGGGCCAAGGUGCAGACAUUGUGUGUAACUCAAAUGGGGGAGAAUGAAUCAAAUCACCGUGUACCUAGCAUUCAUGACACUUGCGAACAAAACUGAUACAAUCCCGUUCCAUGGUGAGCCAAUAAUAACCUGCUCGAAGUAUCUUUUUUGCCAAGACUUACCCAUUCAUAUGCAGCCCGCAAACUCCAGAAUGUACUUCGGCCAUGAUAGUUGAAGCUUCUUUAGCAUCUAUGCACCUCAUCAGUCUUAAAUCUGGAGUCCUCUUGUACAAGAUUCCCCCACUUAAGAAAAAUCCACGAGCCAGACGUCGAAUGGUUCUCUUUUGAUCACCCGUGGCAUGUAGUGGAUAUACUCCCAACUUGAUGUAUUCCUUGAUAUCAUGGAACCAAGGUUCGCCAUCAAUUUCCUCUUCAACCAUAUUACAAUAAGCAUGUUGAUCAUGAACUUGGAUAUGCAUGGGUUGACAUAAGCCUUGUCCGGAUGAUGUAACAUUGACACUAGAGUAUCCAAGGCAUUGGCAAUCUCAUUAUGAACUCUGGGAAUAUGUCUCAAUUCUACCGACCUGAAUCAUUGAUAAAGAUCUUGCAGACACUAUCGGUACGAUAUGAGCUUCAAGUCUCGAGUCUCCCAUUCUCCUUGAAUCUGGUGAACCAACAAAUCUGAAUCUCCCAGAACCAGUAUUUCCUGGACGCCCAUGUCUAUAGCUAACCUCAAACCCAGAAUGCAUGCUUCGUACUCAGCCAUCUUAUUGGUGCAAUAAAAUUGAAGCUGGGCUAUUAUAGGGUAGUGUUGCCCUAUUUCAGAGAUGAGUACAGCCCCUAUUCCGACACCUUUCAUGUUAGCAGCUCCAUCAAAGAAGAGUUUCCAAUGUGGAUUUUCAUCAUGGUCCACCUCGUCAACAUGCAUCACUUCCUCAUCAGGAAAAUAAGUCUUUAGUGGCUCAUAUUCUUCAUCUAUCGGAUUCUCAGCCAAGUGGUCAGCCAAGGCUUAGGCUUUCAUCGCGGUCCGAGUCACAUAGAUGAUGUCAAACUCUGUAAGUAAAAUUUGCCACUUUGCAAGUCUUUCCAUGGGCGUAGGCUUUUGAAAGAUAUACUUUAGAGGAUCCAUGCGAGAAAUGAGGUAAGUAGUGUAGGACGACAGAUAAUGCUUCAACUUUUGUACCACCCAAGUUAGGGCGCAACAUGUCCUCUCAUGUAGAGUGUACUUAACCUCAUAGGGAGUGAACUUCUUACUGAGAUAAUAGAUUGUGCUCAUUCUUUCCCAUUGUCACACCUUCUUUUUCUAUCUCGGAAAGGGAUAUAAGGGAGUUUUUUCCAAUUAAAACGACAAUCGAAACGAGAUUAUUCUAUUUAAAAUCAGAGUCGUCACUUGGGAUAAUUUAUGGUAUCCCAAGUCAUCGGUUUCAAAUCCCGAAUCAAGGAAAAAUUGACUCUGUUUUACAGUCCGCGAACACAAAAUUCCGGGUAAGGAAUUCUGUUAACCCGGGAGAAGGUGUUAGGCAUUCUCGGGUUCCGUGGUUCUAGCACGGUCGCUCAACUAUUAUUUUUUGGCUCAAUUAUCCGAUUUUAAAACACCUGUAAACCUAUGUGAAUUUUUAACUAUAAAAUCGCUUUUAUUUAUUUAAAGAAUUCAUUCAAGGUUAUUUAAAACACAUCGCAAGCCACGCUAUAUGAAAUGGACCCGUAGUUCACGACACGUUCUAUUUAACCUUGUUGGAAAUUAAGACCGGGUCUCAUAAAAUGCACCCCCAAAUUUUGGUGGUUAAGCGUCAUAACUACAUCAUGGGAACCGUACCCGUAACAAUGAUAAUUAUUUAACUAACGCGCCUAAAGCUAACUACAAGAGUUUAGGGCAUAAUAGAUCAUUCAUCAUUGAAGGCCUUGGUCAUAUUCUAAUAUUAGCAAAAGGCCCUACGUUACUGCUUGAAAUUAAACAAAGCCUUCCAAAGCUUAUUCUAGUGGCCCAACAUUUAAUCCAAAGUCCACUCUUAAAUGACUACCACAGUAACCUAAAUGCUACAAAACUUCAGUCCAAAUUUCAACUAUCAAAUCUCAUGGCCCAAUUACUUUGGUAAUCUAGCCUAAAAUACCGAACCUCACUUCUUGUUUCUGCUCAUCUAAUUCAAACAUUAAUAAUCAAGCAAUGUAAUAGAAACACAGUCACCAAAUUUCAUAUUAUCUAAAAUCAAGCAUGAGAUGGAAAGAAAUAAGUGAAAUAGGACAAGAGUCGGACCUCAAACUGGACAGAAACAACUUCAAAAACUCGAUUAAGCAUGAAAUCCAAAACCAAGAACUUUACAGCAUAAGGUCGUGGACACAGAACUCGAAUAACAACUUGAAAUUAAUAGUAAACCUCCUGUCGGAACUUCGAGUGGCAACCUCACUUUGAUGGUGUUUCACGACAGCGUCUCGAUGGUGGAGUGCGACGGAAUUUUUGAUAGAGUUUUGGAUGGCUUCAAAGUGGUGGGUUUCAACGAGUGAAUAAGUUAUAGAGAGACAGUGAGGUAAAGGUUUAACAUAGUUUCAUGGCCGCAAUGGACUGGUAGAGUGGGGGGGGGGGGUUCUCUUGUGUGUUAUGGCUGAGCAGCGUCAAGGAUGGUCGCUGGUUACUGCUUGUUUUCCGGCGAGAUUGACGGUUGUUCUGCUGAUUUUUAGCUAGACUUAGUGGCGUGAGGGUGGCUGCUCAUUUGGUGGUCUUUUCAACUCGUUUUCCGGCGAGCUUAUCACUGUUUCUGCUGGAUUUUGGGCCAGUUAUGGUAGCGACAGAUGUGAGAGGGUGGAACGGUAGCAGUGUGUGUAUGUGUUAGUACUGGUGUCGCUGGGCUGCUAUGGAGGAGUUCCUUUUUAGAUUGUGUAUUUUGAAGAAGAAGAUAGCCUAGGGUUUUUGUCUAUGCCUUUCUAUGAAGAAGAAGAAGAAAGCUGAUGGGGUCUAUUUUUUGAGCUAUAUAACUGAUUUCUAUUGUUAGUUCCUUUAGGUUUUUUGUUUUGAGAAGAUGAAAAGCUUAGGUCCUUGUGUUUUUUCUUUUGUUGUCUCCAUAAUAAAAACGACUUAUGUGCUAAGUGUAGUCUAUAGGGUCUUUUUAUUUAUUUUGUCAAGAAGAGUCUAGAAGGUCUUCUAGGGUUAGCUUUAUGGGUAAUGGGUAUUGGGCUUGGAAUUAUGGGCCAAGAAAUUGGUUUAAUUGGCUACACGCAAAACUAAAUUAGUCCAAAAAAUUAAUUCUAGUCCCACUUUUUUUUUGUAUGUAAAAAUAAUAUAGAAAACGAGAUAAACUAUUAAAAAUACUACUAAAUAUUACUUAAGAAAAUAACUAUUAAAAUAACACUAACAGUUUAAAAACAAACCUAUUUUUGGUUUUUUUUUCACGGUUAAAAAUGACUACAAAAUAUUAAUGAAACUAUUUUUUGUAAUUUUUAUUUUCUUGUAAUAAAAUAAAGUAAAAGAGUCAAAAUUAGUUAAAAUAAAGAUAUUAGCCCUAAACUAAAUAUUUACAUGCUAAAAUAUAAAAAAUCUUGGGGAGGGUCAAAAAUCACAUGUCUACAGCUGCCCCUCUUUGACUGGAAAUACGAAGUAUUUUCAGACAAAGAACGACUAGACAGGUUUUUUGACCCGACCCUUAUUUAAGGAGACCAAAAACUAAGAGAAAGGAGAAUGUGACCGAGCCCUGAUAUCUGAGCUGCCUACAUAUCCUUGGCUAUAAAGGAAUCAGGCCACGUGUAGUUCAGAAGUGAGUGAAAUGAUGGAGUAUACCGAGGUGGAUAGCCGUUCGAGGUGUCAUUCUGUCGAAGUUCCGGUCUGCGGUCCUGUUAUUACGUCAAAAAUCAAAAAAUGAAAAAGACUAGCUAAGCCUGUCAACUACGAGUUAAAAGAUUCCUAUCUAUAAGUCUUCUAAAACUUGAUCUUGAGUCUUGAAUGGUUCUUCAUGCAGACUUUAGAUUUGAACCUUGACGCUUGCUAGUUGCAGGUGCUAGUUCAUUCUUCUUCAGCUUUUCGGAUCAAAUUCGGACAUACCAUGCUUGUGACUUCAGUCAUGUCUUGAACAGCUCACAUCUUUCAUCAACUUCUACAUUUGGAUUCACUUCUUGCCUUUCUUCUUUAUUCUGGAUUGUGACUAACUUCCGUAGAUCAUCUCGGACUAUUGACUCGCAUUCUUGCCGCGAGUUUCUUUUGUUGCUGACUUGAAUUGCAUUCUAAAGUGAAUUCCUUUAUUCUCCAGGUAGCAUCUGAUUGCCAACAUUUAAACUGUAUUCCCUUGUUCUCCAAGCGGGCGCUUGAUUAUCAAAACCUGAAUUGUCUUCCCUUUGUUACCUUAAACUGUUUUCCCUUGAAACUUGUGUUGUGUUCCUUUGAACAUUGCUGCUUUCCCUUUGUUCUCCAGGUGGGUGCUUGAUUGCCAACGUUUGCACUAUUUUUUCUUGAGACUUGAACUGUUUCCCUUUGUUAUCCAAGUGGCUCCUGAUUGUUGUCUUCCUUUGAACAUUGCUGCUUUCCCUUUGUUCUCCAGGUGUGCUCCUGAUUAGCAACACUUGAAUUCCCUUUGUUCUCCAGGUAGGCUCCUGAUUACCAGCACUUGAAUUGCUUUCCCUUUGUUCUCCAAGUAGGCUCCUGAUUACCAACGCUUGAAUUGCUUUUCCUUUGUUCUCGAGGAGGGCUCCUGAUUACCAACACUUGAAUUGCUUUCCCUUUGUUCUCCAGGUAGGCUCCUGAUUUCCGACACUUGAGUUGCUUUCCCUUUGUUAUCCAGGUAGGCUCCUAAUUUCCAACACUUGAACUAUCCUCUUCUUGAAACUGCUUUUCCUUUGAACUAUCCUCCCUUUUUUCUCCAAGUGGGUGCCUGAUUUCCAAAACUUUAAGUGCUUUGUAUUCUUGAAACUCGUGCUGUCUUCCCUUGUUCUUCAGGUGGGUACCUGAUUUCAACAAAACAGACAAAACAAAAGAAAUUUUCCUGCCCCAGUUUGGUAUUGGGAACAUCUGUGAUUGUUAACCAAUUCUUGUUAUCAAAAUAAAUUCUAAAAUAAAUUCUCUUAUCCUGAAAAUUUCAAACCAAGUCUCAUCUCAAAAGUAAAAAAAAAACUUAAAACGUUGAAUUAUACUUUCCAAAAGUAGAACUUACGCUAAAUCUUGUUAUCUAUGAAGGUCUUGAAAUUUAACUAGAUCCCAUUAUCCAAGAAGAUCCUCAGAACUUUAAAUUAAUCUUAUUAUCCAGGAGGGUCCUGAACACUUAAAACUAAAUCCCAUUAUACAGGGGGGUCCUGAAACUUUUAAAUUAAGUCCCAUUAUCUAGGAGGGUCCUGAGAAUUUUAAAUUAAAUCUCAUUAUCCAGGAGGGUCCUAAAAAGUCGUGAAUGAACUUACCUGAGCCAUACUUGCUUCUUGGAGGAUCUCUGCAGAGCGAACAAAAUUCCUUGCCCCUGAACCAUGCUUUUCCUCAUGGAGGGUUCCUGUAGAUCAAACAAAUUUUCUUUCCCCUUCUCAAACCGCCUUUGUGCUGAUAAAAUUUGGGCACGACACUUGAAAAAAAAUUCAAACUUCCAAGCUUUGAUUUGGACUCAAUUUUCGUCCCUGUUUCAAACAAAGAAAACUUGUGAGUUUAUAAAUAUGGUGGUUGGUNNNNNNNNNNNNNNNNNNNNNNNNNNNNNNNNNNNNNNNNNNNNNNNNNNNNNNNNNNNNNNNNNNNNNNNNNNNNNNNNNNNNNNNNNNNNNNNNNNNNNNNNNNNNNNNNNNNNNNNNNNNNNNNNNNNNNNNNNNNNNNNNNNNNNNNNNNNNNNNNNNNNNNNNNNNNNNNNNNNNNNNNNNNNNNNNNNNNNNNNNNNNNNNNNNNNNNNNNNNNNNNNNNNNNNNNNNNNNNNNNNNNNNNNNNNNNNNNNNNNNNNNNNNNNNNNNNNNNNNNNNNNNNNNNNNNNNNNNNNNNNNNNNNNNNNNNNNNNNNNNNNNNNNNNNNNNNNNNNNNNNNNNNNNNNNNNNNNNNNNNNNNNNNNNNNNNNNNNNNNNNNNNNNNNNNNNNNNNNNNNNNNNNNNNNNNNNNNNNNNNNNNNNNNNNNNNNNNNNNNNNNNNNNNNNNNNNNNNNNNNNNNNNNNNNNNNNNNNNNNNNNNNNNNNNNNNNNNNNNNNNNNNNNNNNNNNNNNNNNNNNNNNNNNNNNNNNNNNNNNNNNNNNNNNNNNNNNNNNNNNNNNNNNNNNNNNNNNNNNNNNNNNNNNNNNNNNNNNNNNNNNNNNNNNNNNNNNNNNNNNNNNNNNNNNNNNNNNNNNNNNNNNNNNNNNNNNNNNNNNNNNNNNNNNNNNNNNNNNNNNNNNNNNNNNNNNNNNNNNNNNNNNNNNNNNNNNNNNNNNNNNNNNNNNNNNNNNNNNNNNNNNNNNNNNNNNNNNNNNNNNNNNNNNNNNNNNNNNNNNNNNNNNNNNNNNNNNNNNNNNNNNNNNNNNNNNNNNNNNNNNNNNNNNNNNNNNNNNNNNNNNNNNNNNNNNNNNNNNNNNNNNNNNNNNNNNNNNNNNNNNNNNNNNNNNNNNNNNNNNNNNNNNNNNNNNNNNNNNNNNNNNNNNNNNNNNNNNNNNNNNNNNNNNNNNNNNNNNNNNNNNNNNNNNNNNNNNNNNNNNNNNNNNNNNNNNNNNNNNNNNNNNNNNNNNNNNNNNNNNNNNNNNNNNNNNNNNNNNNNNNNNNNNNNNNNNNNNNNNNNNNNNNNNNNNNNNNNNNNNNNNNNNNNNNNNNNNNNNNNNNNNNNNNNNNNNNNNNNNNNNNNNNNNNNNNNNNNNNNNNNNNNNNNNNNNNNNNNNNNNNNNNNNNNNNNNNNNNNNNNNNNNNNNNNNNNNNNNNNNNNNNNNNNNNNNNNNNNNNNNNNNNNNNNNNNNNNNNNNNNNNNNNNNNNNNNNNNNNNNNNNNNNNNNNNNNNNNNNNNNNNAAUUCACGUAUCCUUGUUCGACUUGUAGUGCCCGAAGGGUUUCACCAUCAAGCCUCUCUCAUUUUGUUCUUUCUCUCAACUCACCAUCGCCUUAUGGUGCCUGUGAAGGUUUUCACCAAUAAGACUCUCUCAUUUAGUUCUUUUCUUCUUACUUCCUCUGAUUCUGUAGAUGACGGGGCAUUAACCAUAGUAAAAGAUCAUAUGCUCUUGGCAUAUCUAAACUCAGCACUCUCAAAGAUUAUCUGGGAAGUCUUUUUUGGACUGUAAUGUGAGCUUUUGGAUAAGGUUAGAAAGAAAGGAUAUCAUAAAAGCUCAAAAUAACUAAGACAACGGGAUUAAUUUAUUUACAACUUUUGGAAUCCACUCUAAAAACUUUGUCCCAAUUUCUAAAACAAAGGAAUUUGAUUCUCUUUUUGUUUUGUUUUUGUUUUUCUUUUUUUUUAAAUGGAAUUUCUAAGAAAGACUACCCCACUCUCGAUUUUGUGGGAUUAUGAAAUAUUUUAUUUGGUAUGACCGAACCGUAAGGCUGCCUUCGUAUCUUGUGGUGACAAGAAUCAGGUCAAACGUAGUUCACAAAGAUACGUUUUGUUGUUGCUAUUUUUCUUUUUCUUUUCUUUCUUUUGUCCUCUUUUUUUUUAAUCCUUAUUUUUCUCUUCUUCUUUUUUUUUUUAAUUUUCCUUUUGGAAUGAACUUUUUAAAAUAAACUUAUGGGGACAAAAACUUUUUUUUCCGCAUGACUCUAACUUGAUUCCAAAAGAUGGGAGGUCAAAGAAAUUAGUACAUGCUCAAAAGGGUAUCAAAUGGUAUAAGUUUUUGGGUAGCUGAAAGAGUGCCUCCCAAUCCCUAAAAAUGUCGAGUACAACACAUGCAACUUGAAAUGAAAAAGAAAGAGCACACACAACAUUUCUUUUACAGCUUCGACAUUGAUAUCACUGAUAUGCUUUCCAAUUUUUUUGUCUUUUUUUUUCUUUUUAGUGCCUUGUCAAGUACAAAACUCUCAUUGGGUGAUUUCUUCUUCACAAUGGAUACUCUCCGUCUGUUUGGAGCAAAUUCCCUUGACUUUAUCUUGUUACUUGAGGUACACUUGAACUCAAAACUGCUUGCUUCAAAUUGUCUGGGAUGUACUCUCAUUUACUGAAUUCUUGUCAUCUUAUUAACUUCCCAAAUUAUCUGCCCCAGUUUCACGUGGUUCGGGCUUCAUAUGAUCUCAAAAUGCCUUUACUUAUUUCCCUGAAAUGUCCCUCUUCAAAACUUGUUUCAUUGCUUCAUGAUUAGACUAACUUUUAAGACCAGGCUAAGAAUUAUGCGUGUAUGUCAUGUCACUAGAACCAGCAUCAAAAGAACUAUAAAAGGAGAAGAGAACUAAACAAAAUUGACUAGAAAUAACAUAAAGUAGAAAAUUGCAUUAGAUAGACAGUGAAAGGGUUUGAACAACAAAACAAGCAAAAUAAAUUGGGAUACAACACUGGAACAAACCUAGACAACACUAAAUGAGUCACUACGACUAAAGGAACUAGGAAAAAUAAAAGGAUAGAAGGGUUUGAGUCAUAAGACAAUAUCCGGAUUGCAACCCUGAAAUAACCCGUACAACAGAAAUGACAACAAAAUGAACCACCAAGACUCCUCUUCGGCUAGCCAAGAAAGGAGCGUCUUUCCAGUUACCAAGCUUGGCAUCUUAGCCACUGAGUUCCACAUCAAUAUUACCAAGACCAUUACCACUUUCAAUAUUAUUAACUUCACCAAGUGGCUCAUUGAUUCCCUUAACCAACCCUUCGUCAUUGCAAACCAUCCCAACAAUCUGUGCAUUGUCAUGUACCUAUAGAGGAUUAUGUAUGACACUUGGGGUAUUACUACCUUGGACCACAAUUAUUCCUUCUUGAAUCAUUCUUUCUAUUUCCCUUUUCAAAGCACGACAAUCUUCAAUGCUAUGCCCUUGGACAUUAGAGUGGUACAUGCACCGUACAGUAGGAUCAAAACCUUUUGCAUAUGGGUUUGGCGUAUAGUCGAGGAGCGGCUCAAUCAGGCUAGAAAGUUUUAACUUUUCAAACAAGCUUGUGUAGGAUUCUCUGAUUGGCAUGAAAUUAUCUUUUUGCCUUUGUUUCCCCCCAUGCCUAUGUUUUUUAGGGUUAUAUGGUGCUCGAAAAUGUUGUGAAGGCGCACGAGAAUUUUGGGAUACUGGUGCUCGCCUUAGGGAGUGACCUAGUGGUUGGACAAAUGGACAGAUGUUGUUCGGAAGAUAAUACUAGGGUGGAUUAUAUGGAGUUUGGGGAUGUUCAUGGGGUCGAUAUUGAGGCUGAAAGCGUUUAACAGGAAUGCCCACUGGAUCCUAUCGUUGGUGGGGCUCGGUAACAUCUUUUAUAUCAAUGGGAGGACUGUCCCGAGCAACUUGUGCGUUCCAUCUGAACCAAAAUUCCUUCAAUCUUUCCUUAGGUUUCUUUUUCAUCUGAGAUAGGAAGGAGCGGUCUGGGACAAUGCAUAUAUUGUACUGAAAGUGUCGCACAAAAUCUUGAGCCAUGUCAUCCUAUGUAUGCCACUUACCGAUAUCUUGACGAGUAUACCAUUCCAAAGCUGCCCCAGUCAGGCUCUCACUGAAAUACGUCAUCAGCAACUCAUCUUUCCCGCCAACACUUCUCAUUUCACUGCAAUAACCCCUUAGGUGGGCUACUGGAUCUCCCCGCCUAUCAUACAAAGUAAACUUGGCAUCUUAAACCCUUUCAGUUUUCUGGAUAUCUCAUCUUGCUCCACUGUCUUAGUAGGCUUUGCGGUUUCACUGGGAGGCUCAAAAUGAGGAGCGUAAGAGUAUGGAAUUGAGACCUUGAAAGUUGGUUCUAGAGCAUAGUAUUGGACAUCGGGGACUUUGAAAACAGUCUCGCUAGAGGAUUGACGAAAAGUAGCUAGAGGAGGAGCUACAAAAGCAUGAGUGGCCAAAGGAGCGGGAUAUGAGAUGCUUUUGGCGGGUAGAGUGUGAAAAGGUUGUGGGGAGAUAUCAGCAGCUCUGGGAAUCUGGAUUUGUGAUAGUGGUGGGAUAGUUGCAGGGUUUUCAGUAUAGUUAGUAGGGAAUGAAGGUGGAGGAUGCCCCUGAUCCAAGACUAAUACAUUUCUGCCAUCUACUGUUUCAACAUCUGGACCUCCCUUUUCAAUUUAGACUCCGAUUCCACAAACUCCCUCGACGGGUCAACAACUCCUGUGUCCAAGUCUUUGCUAGCCAUGGCUACCUUGCUCUUUGACCUUGUGUUGUAUGGAAGAGUUGCCAGUUUAAGAACCACAAACAAACCACCCUUCUACUCAAUGAGGAUAACAAAGAGGAACAAAAUGAAGUCAUCAUGUUAGUCUUAGGGCAUUUAACAACUAAAAAUAUCACAUUACGUGGAAUGCACCUAGCAACAAUUAACGGUUCAAGAAUGACUUCGAGGGUCACAAGGUCACUUGGCAUCAUCCCAAUUUGUUCGUUUCAAUCCUCUCUUUUCUUUCUUUUUCUAGCACUUCUUGGCUUGCUCAUUUUCCUUCCUCUUCUCUUUUUUUAAUCAUCACUCUUUUCUUUCCUCUCAUUUCUCACAUCCCAUAAUUUCACCUCUUUUUUUCUUUCUUUUUCUUUUUUUUUCCUUUUUUUAAUAAAAUAAAAAAUGAUUCGAUCAAACCCUAUUUAGGUUGCCUACGUAUCAUAACGCCGUAUGAAUCAGAUCUUUGCGUAGUUCGGGAAGAUCGAGAAUAAAGUAAACAGACUAACGUUCUCAUUUUUUUCUUUUUUUUUGUCUUAAUGACUACUCUGAUGAGAAAAGAGAAAUAAAAGAAGCAAAUCCUUUUUUUUUUCUUCUAGACUUAAUGUUCUAUAAUCUAUUCCAAACUCAAGCUUAAUAAGCAUAUUUUUUUUUGUCUCCUUGAAACAAAUAAUCUAUGGGAAAUUAUUAAGGAAAAAACACUAUAGGAGAAAAAUAUUUUUUUGAUUCUUUUUUUAAGAAAGAAAAUCUAAAGAAUAAACCAAAGAAAAAUAUUUUGAAUUUUCAUUUGAUAUCCCUGAAUAAAGAUUUCGAAACGAGAAAUGAACAAGAUAAAAAAUAUUUUUGGAUUUUAGUUUUGAUUACCUAAGGGAGAAACUCUGAAAAUAAACCAAAGAUAAAGUAAGUUAUUUUUUUUCCUUCUAUGUAAAAUGUCCUAAAGUUCUAAUAAAAAUAAAAGAUUUUUUUAAUCCAUUUUUAUUAAUUUCCCAAAGAAGAACCUCAAAAGAAAAUCUUUUUGGAUUUUUGGAAUUAAUAUCUUAAACGAAAACUUUUAAAAAGGCACUAAAAGAAAAUUCUCUUUUUUUUUGUGAAUUUUUAGUCUUAAUAUACUAAAUAAAAUAUAAAAGCAAUUUAAAACCACGUCAAAAGAUUUUUUUUUCAUUUCUAGCAUUGGUAUUCUAAAGAAGACUUCUAACAGAAAUAUAAAAAGCAAAAUCUCUUUUUUUAGAUUUUUUGAGUUACAACACACUUUGUCAAAUAUAAAGUAUAAAGUACAAUAACAAAAGACUCGACAUUACUAUACAAAACUAGAAGAAAAAAAAGACGACAUAAAAAAGAACAACAGACUUAAAGCAUAAAAAAGAAAAAAAAAAUCUCCUUUUAAUCCACUCCUAGAUGAGGGAUCCUGACUAGAUGGUCCUGGGGCUCUGUCAUGCUCAAACUCUGAUAAGUAGAUCCACGCCUAUAUGAGAAAACUGAAACAAACCCUAUGUAAGACAACAACAUUCCCUACUAGACACAUGCAAGACAUGGUUAAACUAUUUUUCUAAAAUUAACCUAUGUGGUUAAAAAUGCAAGAUUUGGCCAAGACCCCGCGAAGCCAAGAACCUAAACUCACUAGGAAGACCGGACCCUAUAUGGGUUGCCUACGUAUCACGCUCCAAAAGACGAGAAUCAAGUAUGCGUAGUUCGGCCAAAUUGAUACGGGUGAGAGUUGAAAAAAAAACAACUAAUUUAGAGAUAAAAAUAUAUUUUUGCUUUUUUUUUUUGAAAAAUGAAGAAACAUGUAAACUCUUUUUAGAUUUUUUCCUUUUUUUUUGAUUUUCUGACUUUCGGAAAAUGAUGAAAAAGUGCAAAAUCUUUUUUUUUUGAAUUUUUCAUUUUUUGUCUUUUCUUAACAAAAAUGUAAAAGAAAAUAUAACUGGGCCCUACUUGCUUUAUUUUUCACACUUCUCUCUUUUUUUUCUUUUUUUCUUUUUCAUUUUCCCUCAACUAUCAUUGGUCUGCCAAAUGACCCUUUUACCCUUGAAGAAAUGCAACAUGUAGCACGUAGGAAGCAUUAAGAUGGUCUGUUAUUUUGGGUACACCUGUCCUAGACGGAUCCAACCCUUGUGUUGAGUCCCCAAAGUCAAAUGUACGUAAUGUAAAAAACGUUCCUACUAGGGAUCCGGCAUGAGUCUAUGUUAUUCUAGGUUUAAAAACCUGGUUUAUUUGUUCUAGACCCGGCUUACCCGAGCGGACAACUCGAGCUAGGGGAAGGAGAGGGGCAGCGUACCGGGAAUACAAAAGCUUCACCGGCUUUGCAGCUUGUCCGAACCUCGUUCUAAAAUUGGAAUAUGACUCUAAUAGAAGAGAAGUCACACGAAGUGCAUACUUCCCAGAUGAUUUAGAAGACUCAGAGAGAGGAGACUUUCAUAUCAAUUUAUAUACAGUUCAGCAAUAUCAAAGCGGUCAAAAAGCGGCAAUUAGCACAUUAGGCCCAAAUAGGUAAAUAAAACCAGAUAAUAAAUAAGCCAAAUAUAACAAUUAUUCUAAGCUUGAAUUCUUGAACCCUGAACCAGAGGUUCUGGGUUCUCGUCCCUAGCAGAGUCGCCAGAGCUGUCAUACCUCCUUUUUCUACCCCGGAAAGGGAUAUAAGGGAGUUUUUUCCAAUUAAAGCGACANNNNNNNNNNNNNNNNNNNNNNNNNCGGGUAAGGAAUUCUAUUAACCCGGGAGAAGGUGUUAGGCAUUCCCGGGUUCCGUGGUUCUAGCACGGUCGCUCAAUUAUUAUUUUUUGGCUCAAUUAUUUGAUUUUAAAACACCUUUAAACCUAUGUGCAUUUUAACUAUAAAACCGCUUUUAUUUAUUUAAAGAAUUGAUUCAAGGUUAUUUAAAACACAUCGCAAGCCAUGCUACGUGAAAUGCACCCGUGGUUCACGACACGUUCUAUUUAACCUUGUUAGAAAUUAAGACCGGAUCACAUAAAAUGCACCCCCGGAUUUUGGUGGUUAAGCGUCACAACUACGUCACAGGAACCGUACCCGUAGCUAUGAAAAUUAUUUAACUAACGCGCCUAAAGCAAACUACAAGAGUUCAGGGCAUAAUAGAUCAUUCAUCCUUGAAUGCCUUGGUCAUAUUCUAAUAUUUAACAAAAGGCCCUACGUUACUGCUUGAAAUUAAACAAAGCCUUCCAAAGCUUAUUCCAGUGGCCCAACAUUUAAUCCAAAGUCCACUCUUAAAUGACUACCACAAUAACCUAAAUACUACAAAAAUUCAGUCCAAAUUUCAACUAUCAAAUCUCAUGGCCCAAUUACUUUGGUAAUCUAACCUAAAAUAUCGAACCUCACUUCUUGUUUCUGCUCAUAUAAUUCAAACAUUAAUAAUCAAACAAUGUACUAGAAACAUAGUCACCAAAUUCAUAUUAUCUAAAAUCAAGCAUGAGAUGGAAAGAAAUAAGUGAAAUAGGACAAGAGUCGGACCUCAAACUGGGCAGAAACAACUUUAAAAACUCAAUUAAGCAUGAAAUCCCAAACCAGGAACUUUACAGCAUAAGGUCGUGGACACAAAAACUCGAAUCACAGCUUGAAAUUAAUAGUAAGCCUCCUGCCGGAACUCCGAAUGGCAACCUCAUUUUGAUGGUGUUUCACGACAGCAUCUCGAUGGUGGAGCACAACGGAAUUUUUGAUAGAGUUUUGGAUGGCAUAAAGUGGUGGGUUUCAAUGAGUGAAUCAGUUAUAGAGAGGCAGUGAGGUGAAGGUUUAACAUAGUUUCAUGGCCGCUAUAGACUGGUAGCGUUUGGGGGUGGGGUGGGGGGGGGGUUCUCUUGUGUGUUAUGGCUGAGCAACUUCAAGGAUGAUCACUGGUUACUCUUCAUUUUCCGGCAAGAUCGACGGUUGCUGCUGAUAAUUUUCAGCGAGCCCCAGUGGCGUGAGGGUGGCUGCUCAUUUGGUGGUCUUUUCAGCUCGUUUUCCGGCGAUCUUGUCACUGUUUCUACUAGAUUUCCGGCCAGUUAUGGUAGCGACAGAUGUGAGAGGGUGGAAUGGUAGCAGUGUGUGCAUGUGUUAGUGCUGUGUCGCUGGGCUGCUAUGGAGGAGUUCCUUUUUAGAUUGUGUGUUUUGAAGAAGAAGAUAACCUAGGGUUUUUGUCUAAGUUUUUCCAUGAAGAAGAAAAGAAAGCUGAUGGGGUCUAUUUUUUGAGCUAUACGGCUGAUUUCUUUUGUUAGUUCCUUUAGGUUUUUUGUUUUGAGAAGAUGAAGAGCUUAGGUCCUUGGGUUUUUUCUUUUGUUGUCUCCAUAAUAAAAACGACUGUUGUGCUAAGUGUAGUCUCUAGGGUCUUUUUAUUUAUUUUGUCAAGAAGAGUCUAGAAGGUCUUCUAGGGUUAGCUUAAUGGGUAAUGAGUAUUGGGCUUGAGAUUAUGUGCUAAGAGAUUGGUUUAAUUGGGCUACAAACAAAACUAAAUUAGUCCAAAAAAUUAAUUCUAUUCCCUCCUCCUUUUUUUUAUGUAUGUAAAAAUAAUAUAGCAAACAAGAUAAACUAUUAAAAAUACUACUAAAUCUCACUUAAGAAGAUAACUAUUAAAAUAACACUAACCGUUUAAAAACAAACCUAUUUUUGGUAUUUUUCACGAUUAAAAAUGACUACAAAACAUUAAUGAUUUUUUUUUUUGUAAUUUUCAUUUUCUUGUAAUAAAAUAAAGUAAAAGAGUCAAAAUUAGUUGAAAUAAAGAUAUUAGGCCUAAACUAAAUAUUUACAUGCUAAAAUAUAAAAAAUCUUGUGGAGGGUCAAAAAUCACAUGUAUACACCCGUGAUGUCAUGUUGACCCAAUACACAGCCAAAAGAAUUAUCAAAGACUGUCAAAUAGAGAAUUAAAGGUCUCCCAGGCUCUGGUGGGACCAACACAGGAGGGUUUGACAGGUACCUCUUAAUCUUAUCAAAUGCUUCUUGACACUCAUCAGUCCACUUGACUGCAACACUCUUCUUCAACAGCUUAAAGAUGGGUUUACAGGUUGUCGUGAGCUGAGCAAUAAACCUGCUAAUGUAAUUUAACAUUCCAAGCAGGCUCAUCACCUUUGUUUUGUUCUUGGGCGGUGGUAGCUCUUGAAUGGCUUUGAUCUUUGACGGAUCCAACUCAAUACCACGUCGAUUGACCACGAAUCCCAGCAAUUUCCCAGACGGGACACCAAAUACACAUUUUGCUGGAUUGAGCUUUAGGUUAUACCUACGGAGUUUUUGGAAAAACUUCCUUAAAUCCUUGACAUGGUCAGACUGCUUCUUUGACUUAAUGAUCACAUCAUCUACAUAAACCUCAAUCUCCUUGUAUAUCAUGUCAUGAAAUAUGGUGGUCAUCGCCCUCAUGUAAGUUGCCCCAGCGUUCUUCAAAUCAAAUGGCAUUACCCGGUAGCAGUAUGUUCCUUAUGAUGUGAUGAACGCUAUCUUUUCUGCAUCUUCCUCAUCCAUCAAGAUCUGGUGAUAUCCCGCGUAUCAAUCCACAAAAGACCCAAUCUCAUGCUUGGCACAAUUAUCGAUCAGAAUGUGAAUGUUCGGCAAACGGAAAUCAUCCAUUGGGCUUGCUUAUUUAUGAUCACAAUAAUCAACCAUACCCUGGUCUUACCAUCCUUCUUUGGUACUGGCACCACAUUAGCUAACCAAGUGGGAAUUCGAGUGACCCGAAUGACCUUUGCAUUAAGCUGCUUUGUGAUUUCUUCUUUGAUCUUCACACUCAUGUCAGUCUUGAACUUUUAUAACUUUUGCUUGACAGGAGGGAAUGAUGGAUCGGUUGGAAAUUUAUGAACUACCAGAUCAGUGCUCAGGCCCGACAUAUCUUCAUAUGACCAUGCAAAGACAUCUUUGUACUCAAACAAUAUUUUGAUGAUUUCCUCCUUAACUUGCGGUUCUAGAUGCACACUUAUCUUGGUUUCCCUAACAUUAUCCCGGUCCCCUAAAUUGAUUGCUUCAGUUUUGCUCAAAUUAGGCUUUGGUUUUCCUUCAAAUUGUUUUAGCUCUUUACUGAUUUCCUCAAAUGCUACUUCUUCAUCAUAUUCUGUUUCAUCAUCAUACUCUACUUCUUCGAUUAUUAUUUCAGAAUUAGAUUGGCUUUUAAGAUUUGUCUGAAAAUUCCUCAUGCAUGUCAUGUCAUUACAACUAACAUAAAAAGAACUGUACAAAAGAAAAACAAAACAAAACAUUAUUAGAAAUAAUGGAAGACGGGAAAUUGCAUUUCACUGAAAAUAAAAGUAUAGAAGGGUUUGAACAUCAAAACAAGCAAAAACUAAAAAUAUGGAUUACAACCGUAGAAUAACCCAGAUAACAGAAAGGAAAACAAAGCAAACUACCAAAACUCCUUCCUGGUGGGGAGAGGAGUAGCUUCCCAAUUGCUAAGCUUCACAUUUGGCCCAACGAGCUGCACAUCUGCUUUACUAGAACCUUCACCAACUUCUACCAUAUUGACCUCAUCGAAGACUCUGGAACCUCUUGAGCAACUCUUAAUCAACAUCGACCACAGGUUUUGGGAUUGAUGAGGUUGGAGGUUUUUCGGCCCCUAACUUGACAAAAGACUUAGAGAUGUGUGGGACAGGCUUGAGAAGUGACCAUACCUUCUGUUUCAGGUUUUUAACCCUUUCCACGUCCUUUUCUAUGGGCAUGAAUCCCAAACCAAAUGUACCAGGAUUUCCAUUGGGGUGCAGUGGAUGCACAAUACCCUGCAGAGAUGAGCCCAGACCUUUGCCCGGCACAAAACCAUUCUUUAACAUUUCAUUCGCUACCAUGACAGACGCGGAGGAUAACUUAGGACCCGGAAUCCAUUUUCCUUCAGGAAUCUUCUCAACAGACACUGUUUCGAAAGUUUGAUAGACCCAAGGUCCCUUAUCUUCUUCAGCUUCAAUAAACAGAACAAUUGUGUCAUUACAAGCUGACAAGUCCUCAUCACCGUGCACAACUAUUUCCUACCUGUCCUAUUCGAACUUCACCAUUUGGUGGAGAGAAGACGGUACUGCCUUAGCAGCAUGUAUCCAUGGCCUGCCUAACAAUAGAUUGUAGGAGACAACCACAUCUAACACUUGGAAUUCCAUGGUGAGCUCAACUGGCCCUAUCGACAAUUCAAGCAUUAUAUCUCCAACAGAAUCUUUACCUCCCCCAUCAAAGCCUCGAACACACAUACUAUUCAUGUGGAUUCUUUCGGUGCCGAUCUUCUUUUGCAGAGUAGACAGGGGACAAAUAUUUGCAGUAGAUCCAUUGUCAACCAAAACCCUUAAGACAACAGAAUCUUCGUACUUCACCAUGAGAUAAAGAGCUCGGUUGUGUUCUGUACCCUCCAUAGGAAGUUCAUCAUCUGAGAAAGUGAUCCUAUUUACGUCAAAGAUCUUGCUAGCUAUAUUUUCCAAGUGGUUCACUGUGAUUUUGUCAGGAACAUGUGCCUCAUUCAAAAUCUUCAUCAGGACCCUGCGAUGUUCAUCUGAAUGUAUCAGCAAAGACAAAAGAGAAAUCUGAGCUGGUGUUUUCCUUAACUGCUCCACAAUGGAAUAAUCCUGUACUUUCAUCUUUUUUAGGAACUCCUCAGCCUCUUCUUUUGGUGAACGGUCUCUUUACUGGCAUUUGGCUAUCCUUGAAUGGCUUGGCUUUCCUUAAUUCUUCUGGGGUGAAACAUCUCCCAAAAUGAGUUAAUCCUCCAGUUUCAUUAACUUCUUCCUCUAUUUCUUUUCCUUUAUAUGUCACUAUCACUUGUUUGUAAUUCCACGGAAUAGCCUUGGCAUCAACCACUGGCAGAUGGGUCACUGGUUUAAUGAUGAUAGGGGUAAUAAGAGCCCCCUUCAUAACUAUGACAAGCUUACUUGGAAUCCCUGGCACUACCAGUUUUGAACCUUUCGGACUUGCCCCAAUAUCUUUCGAAGGCCCUUUCACGACCAACACUGGUGGCUUCAAAUUGAGCGAGCUUAGCUUUUCUGUCGCCCCUUCAACUGUCAAGGGCGUUGCUUUGGUAAAGUCUGGAGCUUUAACCAAAUUACUUUCACUAGCCCGAAUCAUCAUGACAGACUUAGAAGAUUUCUUGGGCUCCUCAUCCUUGUGAACUACUUCAAUCAUAUGCGUCUCUGCAUGGGAUGGCAAAGGGUUUUGGUUUAUGUUCGGCGUGUAAGGGCUUUGGAAUACAAUUUAGUUUGUAUCAAUGAGCUCCUGGAUUGCCCUUUUCAAAUGCCAGCACUUCUCUAUGUCAUGCCCUAGAGCAUCAGAACAAUAGGCGCAUCUUAGGGAAUAAUCGAGGUUCUUUGGAGGGGGAUUUGAUAUCUUUGACUCAAUCAGCCUCAAGACGUCCAACUGCCUUAACCUUUGAAACAGACUAGCAUAGGACUCUCCAAGCGGGGUAAAAGUUUGUUUUCGCUACUGCGUCUCUCUUCUAUAUUCUGGCCUUGGUCGAAAAUUUGAACCAUGGGGGUUUUGGUAGGGUUGUGUAGGUGAAUAGGUAUUUUAUGGAGUUGGAGCAUGCCAUUGCAGGUAAUGAGGGGGUUGCGCAUAUGACUGUGCAUGGUGAACAUGGUAUUGGGGUGGUCUAGCUGAGUAUUGGGGGUUUUACGGGGAAAGUAAUAUUGGGGUGGAUUAUAUGGAGCUUGGGUGUAGGUUUGAGGUCGGGGUCGAGGAUGGGGGUAUUGAUGAGGUGAACCCCGCUGGCCAUGCCAUGGUCCAGAGACAACCAUGGCGACAUCGUCCAUCUUUUUCUUGCCUAGCAAACUUCCGGUACCACUCUAGAUUGCCUGGGUGGUUGCUUUUAUAGCAGAGUAGCUCAUGAUAUUGCUCGACUUGAGCCCUUCUUCCACUAUUUCUCCCAUAUUUACCACAUCAUUGAAAGACUUACCAAUGGCAGAAAUCAAAUGGCCAUAGUAAGUAGGCUCCAGGGCUUGAAGAAAGUAUCCAACCAUCUCGUCUUCUUCCAUCGGAGGAUUGACUCGUGCAACUUGCUCCCUCCAUAGGAACCCAUAUUCUCUAAAGCUUUCACUGGGCCUCUUUUCCACCUUGGUCAAAGAUAGGUGGUCUAGGACAAUGUCUAUAUUGUACUGAAAGUGCCGGACGAAGGCUUGAGCCAUAUUGUCCCAUGUGUACCACCUGUUGGCAUCCUGGGGGUGUACCAUUCUAAAGCUGCCCCACUCAGACUUUGGCUGAAGUAUGCCAUCAGUAAUUCGUCUUUCCCCCGGCGCCUCUCAUUUUACUGCAAUAACCCCUCAGAUGAGCUACAGGAUCCCCAUGUCCGUCAUACAAGUCAAACUUGGGCAUCUUGAACCCGGCGGGCAGUUGGACAUCGGGGAACAAACACAAAUCCUUAUAGGCCACACUCACCUGGUUUCCCAACUUUUGCAUAUUUCUCAAUGAUUGCUCCAUACUCUUUACCUUCCUGAACAUCUCCUCUUGCUCUGCAUUCUUGGGUGGUUUAUCAGUUUCAACAUGAGGCUCAAAGUGGGGAGUGUAGGAGUAAAGAUCUGGGACUUUGAAUGUGGGUUCCGAGGCAUAAUAUUGGGUAUCUGGAGCUGGGAAUACGGGCUCACUAGAGGAUCGGUGGAGGAUAGCUUGUGGAGGGGUACAAAAAUAGGAGCAGAUGUCGGAGCAGGGUACGAGGUUGUUUUGGCUGGUGGAGCAUGAAAAGUUUGGGCCGAAGUGCCAAGGUAGUUGUGGUAUGGGGUAAAUCCUGGUGUGUGUUGUGGGGAAAGAUCAAUGGUAUUAGGCAUCUGGGAUUAGGAGAGUGGUGGAAUGGAGGCAGGGUUUUCUAUGUAGUUGGUAGGGAACGAGGGUGGAGGGUGUCCCUUAAUACAGGCCUGAUACAUUUCCGUCAUUUGAUGCUUCAACCUUCGGACCUCCUCUUGCAGUUCCGAUUUUGACUCAACAAUCUCCCUUGGUGGGUCUACAACUCCAGUGUCUGUUUCAAUGCUAGCCAUGACUAUUUGGCGCUUUGACCUGGUGUUGUAUGGAUGACUUGCCAGGAUGCCCACAAAUUAACCACCUUCCUGAUGUUAAAUAAAAAUAACAGAGCAAAACAACACAAAACCAUCAUGUUAGCGUUAGGGCAUUUAUCAUAUGAUAAUAUCACGUUGUGUGCAAUGCACUUAGCAACAAUUAGCGGUUCUAAAAUGGAUUUGAGGGUCGCAGUGUCAUAUGGCAUCAUCCCAAUUUGUUCAUUUCAAUCCUCACUUCUCUUUCUCUUCUAGCACCUCUUAUCAUUUUCUUCCCACUCUUUCUCUCUUCUUUUUUUUUCACUCUUUUCUUUUCUUUUCUCUUAGUUUUAAAAAAAAUAAUUUGAUUGAACCCGAUGUAGGUUGAGUACGUAUCAUGUCCCUUAUGAAUCAGACUAAGCGUAGUUCUGGAAAAGUGAUGGAAAAUAAACUAAAAAUAAAAUCUUUUUUGGAUUUUUCAUUUAAAAACUUUUCGAUAUUAAAAUACAAUGGGAAUUACGAUAAUGAAAGACCCGACAUACUAAACUACACUACGACAGACUCUGACACUACCUAAAGAACUCAGUACCUCUAGACAAGAUACGAAAGUAAAAGACAACAUAAGACAAUCUCAAAACACCUAAAUAGAAUGACUCCUCAAGCUGCUCCUAAAUGCGACGGUCCUGGCUGGGAUGGGUCUGAUGAAAAUCCAGAUGGCCCUGUCAAUCCGGUCAAAUCUAAGCUCUAUAUUAUACCCUGCAAGGACACCUCAAAGCUGGGAAUGAGAAUCCUGGAAUGCGCGCCUGCAUCUAGAAGGUUGACUCUAGUAAGGUACUCACGGUGUUGUCCCAUGUUCUCUACCAAACCUGCCAACUGUGAUCUCAAUGACUGAAAUGUAGCUUGGACCCCGACUCUCUCUGCUGCGUGGGCCUCCUCUGCUUGAGUAAAUUGAUCCAUCAAUUCUCUAAGUAAUAUCCGUGAGGUGGACUCCUCGUCAAAUACUACUCUAGCACGUCGGGGCAAUGGCCUGCUAACCCCUACUGAGUAGACUAUAGCCAUAUGAAGUACUCAUAGGUAUACCCAGGUGAAUGCGGGUCAGCUGCUAAAGUAUAUCUACCCAUCUUCAUUGCAUGUUGCCAAUAGGUCUGGAUGUCGACCUCCCUGUGAGUCAUAGUGUCAAACUCCCUAAUGAAGUUACGAGAAUCAUGAAUGCAUGGGACUUCUUGUCGUCUCCCUAACUGACGCAUCACUCUAGCAGGGGUAUAUAGUUGAGUACACCAAAGUCCAAUUAGUACCAAGAAGUCUUGCACGCGAGAUCCUGCUAAGAUCACGUCCAAGUCAAUCCAAAGAUAUGACCACAAAAUCUUCUCUUCAGUCAAGGAUCCUAAGUAAUCAACCCAAGCCUAAACUGCGAGUGGUAAGGCAAACUUAUCGAACGCCAUUCUAUGCUCGAUGCGCUUCACUCGAUCUCUAAGACAACAGUCAAUCACAUCUUUCUCAAACAUGGUGGUGGGAUGUAAGUGUUCAAUCAUCCACAGCUGCACCAACAAGUUGCUUCCCUCAAUGAACCUCUCACCUUCUCGAAUCCUAGUCAAAACACGAUAAAUUUCUGCCAAAAUUGUCGGAACCAAGGUGACCUUACUACUGUGUUUAUCAUGGAAAAGUGCAAAGGCUGUUGACCCCAUGCGCGUGCUAAUAUGUCUAACCUACAAAGGAAAUACCAAUAGACCCAACAAUGCAAUAGCGAAGACCAUAGGACGCAUCUUCUUCCAAGAGUCAUAUGAUAUGGAAAAUUCAUCUACGAAAGUCUCAUACCCAGUAGGACGAGCAAACCUCUCGAAUAAAAAGUCCAAAGGUACCCAAGAUUGAUCUAGACAUCCCAUGUGGUUUCCAAAUCCAUCCCUAUGAUCUUAAGGAACUUUGUGCUUGAAUGAACCCUUGUGUAAAUCAAAUCCUUGUCUAGGUAUGGCAAGCGAGUUAAUCCGGCUAUCUCAGCUAAGGUGGGUGUCAUCUUAAGAUCCCCAAACUUAAAUACCAUCCCCUGUGGGUCCCAAAAUAUCAACAUUUCUUCUACAAGAUCGGGAUGGGGGGUGAUGUCCAUCAAUGAAAUAAGAGUCCCUAAUUUACCCAUCAGAUCAUGCUGCUCAAGUAAUGUGAACAUGUUCCACCAUUGACACUCUAGCCUUGGUAAGUGGAUCCAUACCUGUUGAAAGGAAUAGGGCUAAAUAAAGUUAGUGACUCAAGACACUGUGUGGUGUUGAUAUCUCCUAUUGGACACACGCAAGACAUGAUUGGGGUUAUUGUUGCAAAAAUGACCUAUGUGGCCAAAUGAGUCUAAAAAUGCAAUACUCAAUUAGGAUGACCUCUACGACAUGGAAACAUCUCACGAAGACCUAUACAUCCCUCAACCUCUUUAGGAAUCCGGUCUCCAAAACUACACUGCGGUAAUGACCUCACUUUGCAAAAAUGGCCGAUUUGGUCAAGAGUGGCUAGACACACUAAUGCGGUGGGGAUGGACCUUGAAAUAAUAUGACAUCUAGUUGUGGACUCAAGAUUCUAAAACAUGGGUCAUUGAGGUACCUUUGCAAAAAAUGUCCCCAUUUUGCAGGAACGAUCGAUGUAGCCAAAGGUGGCUAGACAUGCAAGAUUUGGCUACGACCCCGCAAAUCCAAGAACCUAAGACUCACUAGGAAGGCUGGACCCUACAUGGGUUGCCUACGUAUCCUGCCCCGAAAGGCGAGAAUCAGGUAUGCGUAGUUCGGGAAGAUCAGACAUGUGAGAAAGCUUUUAAAAAAUGCAACUAAUUUGGAAAAACUAUUUUUUUAUCUUUUUGAAAAAUGAUGGAAAAUGUAAAAUCUUUUUGAAUUUUCUGUUUCUCUUUUUUUUUUUGGAAAACUAUGAAAAAAAAUGUGAGUGGGCCCUACUUGCUACAUUUAUAUAUUUCGCCCUCAAAUACCCUUGGUCCGCCAAAUGACCCUUUUACCCCUAAAGAGAUGCAACAUGUAGCACAUAGGGAUGAUUAAAUGUCUUUUUGGUUCAUAAGCCCAUUUUGACAUAAUUUGGAUAGGCCUCCUACAACGGGACACGGUGCCUGGGACUGAACCCUGCUAGGUUUAAAUGAUAUGAUGCACAUAAGCAUGACCUAAAGGCUGAUCUAUGGUUGGGGUUCACUAGACAAGGCAAUUUGGGGCAGCACGUGAUCGAUGUCGGCUGCUCUAGCUGUCCGCGCACUCCACGCUCCCAAGCCACCCUCCUAAAGACACGGGUGACUCACAAAAAGGUCGUGUACGCUCAAAUGUACUCUGGAAGACGUGUUGCAGAAAGAAGACCCGGGGUUAUGCAAAUGAUGACAAUUUAUAAAGCAGUAACACAUAAAGAAAAUAUUGUAAACAAAUAAGCAACUAGCAAAUAAAAUGACAUAAACAAAACAAAAAUCAAAUAAAGCAAACAAAACACAUAAGAACCUCAACCGAAUAUACUAAAAAGCCAACAAGAUCAAGUACUAGCUCGAACAUGCUAAGUACAUAGGGUUUCUCCAGCAGAGUCGCCAGAGCUGCCACACCCUUUUUUUAACUUCACUAACCUUUUUAAAAUAAUAAAAGAGAUUUGUAAAGCUCAAUAGGGUUUUCAAUUAAAAAGUGACAAAAUUAUGUUAAAAAAGAAAUAACGCAGAGUCGCCACCUGACAUUGGUUUCGGUGUGCCAAGUCACCGUUUGUUUAAAAUGAUUUUCCUUUUAAAAUACUUUGGACUCCAAACUAAGUCUGCACCAAAGAUUCGGGUAAGGAGGUUUAUUUGACUUGGGGAGAAUGUGUUAGGAAUUCCCGAAGUCCCGUGAAGGUCACGGUUGCGUACUCGAUCAAGUUAGCUAUCAAAACACUCAAAUUGAGGUAGAAAUAAACACAAAAAAACACACAAGAAGCUCGAGGUCGUCCACCUAAUAAAACAAAACAAAAUAAAAGUAAAAUAAAAUAUUAUUCUAUGCUUCCUCAAACCGCUCCGUCUUCGUCCUUCAUUUACAUUCACUUCGGGCAUACCCAGAUAAAAUAUAUACAAAGUCUUCGUGGUAUUCCUCGUAUAAAUUUAACUAAAGGAUCGACCUCUCGCCUCUAAAGAAGCUAAAAGACGAGACCUAAAUUCGCCUACCCAAGUGUCGUCGCCCUAAACAUGCACACGACAUAUGAACAUUUAAGUACUUUAAAGGGAUAAAACAUGAAUGACUCUAGAAUACUUAGUAAAAUAAAAGACAGGUGAAUCAAAGCUAUUAAGGAGGAACCAACUAAAGAUUUUCCUAUCAUCCAAUUUCUGAUAAAUUAAUUACGCGAACCUUCAGUUUGCCUUCUUCCUUUUUAUUUUUUAUAUUCCAACAUUUAUCAAACUAUACCAAUAAAACACUAAGGUGAUCUACUUACCUAAUGAUACAUUAUACUAAAUAAUAUCAUCAAAUAAUUUACUAAGAUUGUGUGAUUGUAACAGAAUACUCUAGUAGAAUAAUGAUAUUUAAAUCAUAAAACACUAACUUGCAAACCUCUUUAAAAUAUAUACUCUUAAAUGCUUACCACUCAUCUAAAAAUAACUAUGACAUUGAAAAUUAAUUGUAACUAGCCAACCAUCUUUAUAUCACUUUAAUUCUCUAAAGCCUUAUUUAUUAGAAAAUUAGUCACAGAUUAAACCAAAAGGAAUUCCAGAAACCAACUCAAUCUCAAAAAUACCAAAAGAUGUGACUAAAAGCAGGAUUAUGAGCCUCAUUUUACCUAUUUAUUAUGAGGAAUAAGCUAUUCUAAUGUUAAAAGAAAGAACUAAAAUAAUAACCAUAAGCAUCUUGUUCAAUUUUAAAACAAUUUCCCUAGACAAUUUUCCGCACAUUCCAUGUUUGGGACCAGAAUCACUAAGGAAAGCAAAGACCAGAACCAUAAGUUAGGAUAGGUUUUAACAAGAAUCGAUAACAAAAAUGCAAAGUUAAUCUCCCUAAAUGGCCCUUUCAAUGCUUGAUUCACCAUAAAACAACGAGCAAAUAGAAUAAGAAAAGAGAUGAACCUGAAUGAGGUUUCAAUUAAUUGCUGAAGAUUGCAAUUACAAGCGAAACUAAUGUCAAAAUUGUUGAAGCGAGAAAUACCAAUAAACUUCAAACCGAAACCGCUGGAUUUAAACCCUGAAUGGCAGCCAACAACGGUGACGAGCUUGAAAGCACUCCUCCUCAAUCAAAUUCCAUCCUUAAAAUUAAAUCUCGGAAUCAAAGGAAGACACAGGAAUGUAUUUUCGUUUUUUUGUUUUUUUUUCUUCUGAAAUCUAAAAUAAAGAAAAACUUGAAAAUCCGAAAAUGAAUCUCAAAGAAAGAACCCUGGCUUUUCCUCUCUCUCAAACUAAUUUUCUUCUUGAACCCCCCUCCUUCUGUCCAAAAACCUCCAAAUAUAUACCUCACUCUCGAAUUUUCUUCUUCUUUACCAAGAAAACGCGUGGGACCACAAACCAAAUCCGAAAAUCCCUACAAUAGACGAGAUAAGACAAAUGGAUGGAGUAAAUAUAGUGUAACUCGAUCCUACGCACCCCAUUUUUCUAUUCUCGCCUGAAAGAGACAAAUUAAGAAAAAGAAAAAUGAAGAGAAAAAUACGUGAAAAUGAUAAAGCUUGGUACGGAAUGUGUGACGUGGAAGAAGGAGAAAAGAGAAGGGGGGACCAUGAGUGAGAUUGGGGUGGAGUUAUAGUGGGUUUGGGUGUUGUUUAGCAGCAGUGAAGCUUAGAGAUUGGUGGGGGGCGCCGCUGGUGGGAUCUCUUUAGGUUUAGGGUUGUGACAAAAAAAAUCUUUCUAAGGGGUAGGGAAGAAACAGGGGUCAUUGGAUUUAACUAGAUCAAGGGCUGGGAUUAAUCUAAGAGGGCUAAUGGGUUAUGGGCUAGAAGGAAAUGGGUCAGGCAAGUUGGUCUAAGGGGUGUUGGAAUUGAGCGGAAGAUUUGGAUUAGGCUUUAUGAAAUUCUUGUUGAACAAAAAACAAAAAACAAAAUGAAAAAAAUGAAAAUCCUACAAACAUAUUAAUUAAUCUUAGUUAAUUAAAUAAACUAUUAAAAAUAUUUUUAUUUUUUAUUUUUUUAUACUUUCAAAUAUUAUAUUAAAAUAAAAGUUAGAAAGAGUAGAUUAAAAGUCAUGGUAAAGCUAAAUUAAUAUCACUAUAGAAGUGUUGAUGAUCUUAUACUAAAAUGAAAAAUGUAAUAAGAUGAGAAAUAAUAUAAAUAAAACUAUCCUUGUAUUUUUGACUUUAUAUUCUAAAAUUUAAAAUAAGAGUAGAUUAGAAUCUAAUUAGAAUAAUUCAAGUGAAUAUAUGAAAAUACUAAAGAUACUAAACUAACUUUAAAAGUGCGCGAGUCAAAAAUUACGUGCUUACAGGUUUAGACGCCAAAAAGUUCAUACAAAAAUCAUUCUCCCUGAGUGCGAUUCCAAUGCACAUUCCCAAGAAGUUUCGCAUGCCCGAUAUACCCAAAUAUAUCAACACCCUAACGAGCAUAUUACUUCAUACACUUGCGGAAUCAAAGAGAAUAAUUUGAAUGACAAUGAGAUCGAAUCGGUGUUGUUGAAAAAGUUUGGAGAAAUGCUGUCGAAAGGCUCUAUGAUUUGGUACCACAACUUAGCCCCUAACUCUAUUGAUUCGUUUGCUAUGUUAGCGGAUGCCUUUGUGAAAGCGCACACCGGGGCCAUAAAGGUAUCCACGAGAAAAUCGGACGUCUUCAAGAUAAAAUAGAGGAAUGACGAAAUGUUAAGGAAUUCAUAUGUAGGUUCCAGAUGGAGCGAAUGGAGUUACCACCAGUCUCGGAUGACUGGGCAGUACAAGCCUUCAUGCAGAGUUUGAAUGAAAUGAGCUCGAUUGCAUCUCGACAAUUAAAGCAGAACUUGAUCGACUAUCCAGCUGUGACUUGGUCGGAUGUGCACAAUCAUUACCAGUCAAAAAUCAGGGUCGGGGAUGACCAGUUAGGAGCCCCCUCGGGUUUAGUUCAUCCUAACAGAUUCGCAACCAAGCCCCCAAGGGACACAGAUCGGAAAUCAAGAUUCAAUAAAGAACGGUAUCAGCCAUAUGCCAAUCGAAGGAAUAGUGGCCCAAGCCGUAACACUUCUCGGAGCAAUCGGAGAAACGAUCAAGGUCAAAGUUCUCGGGGACUCAUGAGUAAGGGCAUGUUCGAUAAACAUAUCGGCCCUGCAGAGGCUCCUCGAUUAUCAAAGUACAACUUCAGCGUAGAUGCAUCAAGGAUAGUCUCAGCUAUUAGGAGAAUCAAAGACACCAGGUGGCCCAAGCCAAUACAGACUGAUCCUUCUCAAAGAAACCCGAACUUGAUGUGCAAGUAUCAUGGCACACAUGGUCAUAGAACAGAUGACUACAGGCAGCUAAGGGAAGAAGUGGCUCGGUUGUUCAAUAAAUGUAAUCCACAUGAUCAUUGACGGAGUCGAUGUCCCUCAAUGACUUGUGUUCAAGCACACCUAUAUACAGAUAAAAUCGGAGAGCCCAAUUUUACGAUCAUUAUGUCUUUUCGUAGCUUUACCUCGAAGGCCCGGGGGUACGGUUUGAGGUUAUGACCUCGAGGGUUCUUUAUGCCCGGCCUUAGGGCAGCUUAAGCCGAUGGUUAUCAUGGACAAAUGGAAAGUUCCCUAGGCACGUGGUCAAAGCUAACAACACCUGCAAGAAUAGCACCAACUUGUACCAGACUGCUAAGUAGCUCUACCAGCUAUAUUUCUUUGUAAUAAAUGCACAUGUACUAUGUUGGGAUUUUCCCUCCUAUAUAAAGGGGACCCUUAUUAUUUUUUGCACACAUGACAUAAUAUCAGAUACUUGAUACACCAUUCAAUACAAGAACAUUCUCUACUGUCUAACACAUUCUCUCUUGACUCUAUUAUUUACAUUUAUUGCGUUCCAUUGAUUGUUCUUUCAUUUAUUGCUCAUUAUUGAUCAUAAAGAGCCUUCAUCAAAGCUCUCAAAACUGUUAGUCCUUCAUCGACUGUCCACAACUUAGCACCUAGCUCGGGCUUGAGGUCCUGUAUAGCUCGGCUCGAGGCCCCGAUACUCAACCACUCGGUUUGCCUAAAUAUACCGCUUUCAAGUUCUUAUCUCAUUUUCUAGUCUCACACGUAGCAUCUACUGCCUAACAACUAGCAUAAAAAUAAAUCACAUAUUUUUAGAACCACAAAAUCAAAUUUAAUUAUAAUUACCAUUUUCAAGGUUAACAGUUUGGCGCCCACCGUGGAGCUAAAAAUAAUAGUGAUUGUUUUCUUAUUGUUUUACUAUAUAACGCAAGUUAUCUUUCAUGGUUUUUCUUGACCAAGAAUCUUUGAUUUCAGGUCAAAAUAUCUAACUUAGUAAACGCACAUGAAAACAACGGUCUUGAGGACCAUGGAGAGAAUGGUGUAGUUGUUCCAGGUAUUGAUGUACCACCGUAAAACCCUGAGAGUGCACCAGAACCGAUUCCCAUAGGUACGGUCUCAUGCAACGCCCAACGCAUUGACGUUAGUUCCCACAUUAACGGGAGUACAGGCCAAGAAAAUUGGCAAAAAACUCAAAAAAAUCCCAUCCCGGGAAGAAAGAGAGGCAAAUAGGAGAAACAGGGCGGGAAAACCUCAGCAUGCCGUUCAUAUGAUCAUUGGGGGGGAACGACAUUCCUAAAGGACCCGUGAUAAAACGGGUAAAAGUGUCCGCUGCAACAGAAGGGUUAAUCCGUCCUGCAUGUCCGAAGUCAUCCUUGCAUUCGGCGAGGAAGAUUUUGAGACCUUGACUCGACCACAUAACAAUGUGCUCGUAAUUUCAUUUCUCUUGAAUAACAUUCAAAUUAAAGGUGUACUCGUGGAUCCAGGUAGCUCAGCCAAUAUAAUCAGGUCAAAGGUGGUAGACAACUUGGGCUGCUCGAUCAGAUCGUACCUACCUCCCGAGUCCUCAACGGCUUCAACAUGGCCGGCGAAGCAAUGAAGGGGUAGAUCACCCUCCCAAUCAAUAUGUCUGGUGCAGUCCAGAACGCCAAAUUCCAUGUCAUCGGAGGUGACAUGAGGUAUAAUGCAUUGCUUGGUAGGCCGUGGAUACAUAACAUGAGGGUAGUACCGUCAACUCUGCAUCACAUGAUGAAGUUUCUGACAAAGGAUGGCAUAAAGACAAUAUAUGGAGAACAACAUGCGGCAAAGGAAAUGUUCGCGGCUCAUUGGGAGGCAUCAAAUUCUAUGCACUCUACCUCGGAAGAACCGGGAGGAAAAUAGAUCGCCGAGGAUGAUGAAGAAGAUUUCCUCGCUCCUCGAACCUUCGUUGCCCCCAAAAAGUCAGAUGCAACGAAGUCGACUAUUGAAGGAUUAGAGCAAGCUGUUUUGAACAAAUAUCUCCCAGAUCAGAAGGUAUACUUAGGAACGAAACUAAUCCCCGAACUCAGGAAAAAUUCAUUCAAUAUCUUAUUAAUAACAUCGAUUGCUUUGGUUGGUCCCAUUUAGAUAUGACAGGAAACACACCGGAAAUAACCACCCACCGACUGAGUGUCGACCCCAGAUUCAAACCGUUAAAACAAAAGAGGAGACCUCAGUCGGAAGUAAAACACACAUUCAUCAAGGACGAGUUAACAAAAACUCCUCAAAAUAAGGUCUAUUAGGGAGGUAAAAUAUCCCGAAUGGCUAGACAAUGUGGUGGUGGUUCCCAAAAAGGGAAAUAAGUUUAGAAUGUGCAUAGACUAUAAGGACAUAAAUAAAGCAUGCCCCAAGGAUUCAUUCCCAUUGUCUAACAUCGACCGCUUGAUCGAUGCCACGGUCGAUCAUGAGACCCUCACUUUUCUCGAUGCCUACUCAGGGUAUAAUCAAAUUCAGAUAAACCCCGAGGAUAGGGAAAAGACUUCGUUCAUCAUGAAGUACGGUACAUAUUGUUAAAAUGUAAUGCCCUUCGGGCUGAAAAAUGUUGGAGCCACAUACCAUCGCCUAGUUAAUAAAAUAUUCGAACAUCAAAUAGGCAAAUCCAUGGAAAUUUAUAUUGAUGACAUGCUAGUUAAGUCCUUGCGCAUAGAGGACUAUUUGACUCAUUUGCAGGAGACAUUCGACAUCAUCAGAAGCUAUAACAUGAAACUCAAUCCCGAGAAAUGUGCCUUCAGAGUGGGUUCGGGCAAAUUCUUAGGCUUUAUGGUGUCAAAUAGGGGAAACAAGAUCAACCCCAAUAAAAUCAAGGCCAUUGAAUAAAUCAUGGUGGUAAACAAUGUGAAGGCCGUGCAACGGCUGACCAGGUGGAUAGCAGCCUUGGGCCGAUUCAUAUCGAGAUCAUCAGACAAGAGUCAUCAUUUCUUCUCCUUACUAAAAAAAAUAACUUUGAAUGGACUCUGGAAUGCCAAUGUGCUUUAGAGGAGUUGAAACGAUAUCUGCCUAGCCCACCUUUACACCACACCCCAAAUGAGGAUGAGAUGUUGUUUUUAUACCUAGCCAUAUCCGAGAUAGCGGUAAGUGGGGUCCUAGUCCGAGAAGAGCAAGGUACGCAAUUCCCUGUUUAUUAUGUAAGUCAGACCCUGGGAGAUACCAAAACCAAGUAUCCGCACCUAGAAAAAUUGAAACCUUACUUUCAAUGUCAUCACAUUUGUGUUUUAACUACAUAUCCUCUUCGAAGCAUAUUGCAUAAGCCCGAAUUAUUGGGCCAACUGGCCAAAUGGGCCAUCGAACUCGAGGGAUAUGAUAUCGAGUAUCAACCCCGAACGACUAUCAAGUCCCAAAUUCUGGCAGAUUGUGUGGCCGACUUUUUGCCCUCCCUUGUGCCCGAGGUAGAGAAAGAACUUUUACUAAAAACGGGCACGUCUUUCGGGGUGUGGACACUAUUCAUUGACGGCACCUUGAAUGUGAGAGAAUCCAGGCUCGGCAUAGUUUUGAGGCCACCUAUGGGCGGCAUAAUAAGGCAAUCAAUAAAAACUGCUAGGUUGACUAACAACAAGCCUAAUAAGAGGCUAUGAUUGCAGGUCUGGAAUUGGCCAAAAGCCUAGGAGCUAAAUUCAUCGAAGCAAGAUGUGAUUCCCUCCUGGUAAUAAAUCAGGUAAAUGGGAGCUUUGAGGUUUGAGAAGACAUGAUGCAAAGAUACUUAGACCAAAUUCAAGUCACAUUGCACCGCUUCAAAGAAUGGACUUUGGUCCACGUACCUUGAGAGUAGAAUAGCAAGGCCGAUGCCCUUGCAAACCUGGGAUCAUCUGUCGAAGAAGAUGACCUACUCCCCGGGGCUGUUGUUCAGCCAUCUAAAUCAGUGAUCGAGGAAGGUCAUGCCGAGAUCAACUCCACUAGCCUGAUGUGGGAUUGGAAAAAUAAAUAUAUCGAUUAUUUAGAAAGUGGGAAACUACCCGCGGACCCAAACGAAUCGAGGGCCCUAUGGACUAAAGAAGCCUGAUUCUCGCUUGACAAAAAUAGAACACUGUACAGAAAAACCUUUGAUGGGCCCCUAAUAGUAUGUUUGGGGCCGGGGGACACAGAUUAUGUGCUUCGAGAAAUCCACGAGGGCACCUGCGGAACACUCUGGUGACGAUUCCUUAGUCCGAAAGGUGAUCAGAGCAGGCUACUAUUGGGACAACAUGGAAAAGGACGCCAAAGAAUUCGUCCGUAAGUGCGACAAAUGCUAGAGAUUUGCCACGAUGAUUCACCAAACCGGUGAACAGCUGCAUUCGGUCUUGUCGCCAUGGACUUUCAUGAAAUGGGGGAUGGACAUCGUCGGACCCCUACCAACGGCACCAGGUAAAGCUAGAUUUAUUUUAUUUAUGACUUACUACUUCUCAAAAUGGGUGGAAGUGCAGGCUUUCAAUAAGAUAAGAGAAAAAGAAGUCAUUAACUUCAUCUAGGACCACAUCAUGUGCCGAUUCGGAAUCCCUUCCGAGAUAACAUGUGAUAACGAAAAGCAAUUCAUCGAAAGCAAAGCAACACAGUUCCUCGAGGAUCACAUACAAGACCAUCAUUCAAAACUUAAAAAAGAAGUUGGAAAGUGCUAAGGGAAAAUGAAGAGAAAUAUUACCCGGAGUGCUAUGGGUAUAUUGAACAACUCCAAAACCACGCAUAGGAGAAAUACCCCUCUCUUUGGUAUAUGGAGUCGAGGCUUUGAUACCGGUAGAGUUCGGAGAGCCAAGCGCCAGAUUCUGACACACCAUAGAGAGCUCAAACAACGAGGCCAUGAUUGCGGCCCUCGAACUGCUGGAUGAAAAGCGAAAAGCUUCGCUGGUCCGAAUGCCCGCCCAAAUACAAAGGAUCGAAAGGUACUAUAAUAGGAGAACAAAUAUCUGACAUUUCAGAGUCGGGGACUUAGUUCUGAGGAAAGUCACCCUAAAUACUCGAAACCCUAAUGAAGGAAAGCUGGGCCAAAACUGGGAAGGACCGUACCGCGUCCUCGGAGUGAUCAGCAAAGGGUCCUACAAACUUGGUACCAUAGAAGGCGAACAAAUUCCAAGCAAUUGGAACAUAUCAAUGCUCAAACGUUACUACUGCUAAGGUGUCCGAUGGAAGACGCCAAAACAUCCCUUGGCUUGAAGACCUUAGGUUUUAAAGUGUAUGUUGCACUCUUUUCCUUUGGUCGGAUUUUAUCCCAAGAAGGGGUUUUACCAACAAGGUUUUUAAUGAGGAAAUAUCUAUGUGCUACCUAAGGAGAAUUUCACAAGUGUUCAAGGCUUCUCUCCAAUCAACCUCGAACACUGGGGGGCAUCCCCCCGAAGGAUCACCUUCUCGAAGAAGUCAAGAUGAGCUAAAAAGGGUCUCAAUAGGAAAAUGAUGUAUCAGGCCAAACGGUCGAACAGACCGUGUCCGCAUAGAAUAAAUUGAGCCCUUGAUGGCACAAACAUGUAUACUUGUGCCAAGUUAUUAAAGAAUAUUUUCUCCUCCAUCAAAACGCUUUACGCUUCAAAGAAGUAUGCUACUUUUGCAAGAAACAACUUCAGAGCCAGAAAUUUCCCGAACACUCGAGGACUGACGCCAAAAGCUCAAGGCCAGAUGACCUCCGGGUUGAAAACUUCAAACUCGUAAGCCCUCGAUGAGGCAACACCAAGUUUACAAAAAAUGGCUCUAGAUCCAAGAAACUUUCGACGUCUCGAGAACUAUUGUGGACUAUCAUCCCAUCGAGCUAUCAGAAACUCAAGGUCGUAAGACCCCAAACGGGCAACCUCGAGCCCGAAAGCCCUCCAUGUGGAAAUACUAGAAAAUGUAAGACCUCUACGAGGCAUUACCAAUAGUUUAAGCCCUCAAUGAGGCAACAACAAGCUUACAAGGAAUGGGUCCAGAGCCAAGAAACUUUUGAUGCUUCAGGGAUUGUCACCGACUAUCACCCCCAUCGAUUUGUCGAAAACCCGAGGCCAUAAGAUCUCAUGCGGUCAACCUCGAGCUCGUAAGACCUUCAUAGGGCAAUACCAAAUCUGCAAAACCUCAAGCAAGGCAUGAAUUAUACUUGUACCAAGUAACCAAAUCUGUAAGACCUCAAUAAGGCAUGUUAAAAUUUAUAUGACCUUGCAAAAAGGCAUCAUCCCGAUCUUAAAGUUAAGGCUAUAUAUUCGAACUUGUAAGACCCCUAAAAAGGUAUACCCUCGAUAUAAAUGCUAAAACUACUUCACUCGGGGACUGAAAGGCGUUGGCUAAACUCAAUGACUACGGUCACAAGGCUCCGACCAAACUCACGCGAUUCGGGAAUGGCUGACCGUCGCUAUAAAAUCACAGGACUUCAAUUACUUUGAAAAAACUUCGAAAAGAAUCAGUUAAUUAGUCUACCCUUGACAUAAGCAAAAGAUCUUCGAUCAUAUCAGCUCCAAACAACAGGCUUCGAAACAAUUCAGCCGUCAAACGAAACCUCCAGAGGUGCUCAUUUAUCGCUACAUAAUGGCUCACAAUCAAGGCUCUUAUCGAGUCGUCAAAGAGUUGAGCGAACAUAAAAACUUCAAAAAGUCUUUAACGAGGGAAAAUAAAGCCUACAUAAAGAGGUCGUACCGACCCAAUGCGUAAGAGCCACUGUCGCCAGCCUAUAUAAAGAGGUCAUAUCGACCCAAUUCGUAAGAGCCACUAUCGCCAGCCUAUAUUAAGGGUUCGUACCUACCCGACGCGUAAGAGCCUAAGAGCCAACUUUAAAUUUUGAAAACUUAAGGGUUAGUGAGCUUGAGUCAAAAUCCAACUUGAAAACUAAGCCCAAACAAUUAAAUAAAUGCCUAAGGGCAAAUGCGUAAGAGCCUGCAAGCCAGCCCAACAAGCCCGAGGGCCUAUUUAUCAACCUAAGGGUUUUUACCACGAAUUCCAUUACAUCUGGAUAAUCAUUGAUGAACGUCAAAAUUUAAAACAAAGAAAAAAAAGAAAAAACCUUUACAUACAUAUUGGAAGGUUCACAAAGGUGCAUUUACAAGACCUAUGUCUGAAGCCCUUACAAGGGCAAAAAAGUAAAUAAAACCCUAAUCUACCACCGGGGCUAUGCCUUUGACGGCUCCCUCGGAAAUUGUGCUUUCAACAGCACCAGCCAUAACCCCCAGGUUUUCAAUGGCAUUUCCCUCUUCGGGGACUCGCCUCCAUCUUUAUCAUCUCCUGAGUAGCUGCUCGACUCGUCUUUAGAGGAAUGUAGGACCGCGGACUCCUCUUCUACGAUCUUCACCCUCUCGAUCUCAGCAGGCAAAAUGAUGCCCCCACAUAUAUAUCCUCGAUAUCCCAUCUCCAAGAUUCUAAACGGGCAUGUCCACUGCCAGAGUCAAUCGCAGCUCGGCCUCCUCUGACACUUUCUUGGCCUGAGCAUUUGUAGUAGCAGCAUCAUCUUUGUACGAGGAUACGAGCUCCUCAGCUUCAGCCCUAACAUUGGAUAACGCAACAACCAUCUCAGUAUGAAGAUCCCUGUACUUAUUACUCUCUGCCCUUGCAUCAUCAAGUUGAUGCCCGACUGAGGCCACCUCCCCCUGGAGGGUAUCUCAAUCAGAGAUUAUCUCACUUACGUGCCAUCUGAGUUUGAAAAUUUCAGAGUCCCUGACUCGGAGCUCCUCCUUCAUUAGGACAUCUUUCUUCUCAAGCUGCAAAGAUCAACCCGAAGGUGUUAAAGCAUUAAAGCUGGGUAAACAUGUAGACAAAAAAAAGCAAGAACUAUAUAACCUGCUCAGUAAGAUGAGUCCUGUCUCGGGAUGCCGCCUCCAAACAACCCCUAAGGCUACGGAGUUCCUCUUCCCUCUUAGUAGAAAGAGCUCUAAGCUCAUCAGCUUCCAAGGUGAUUUUUUAUGCUCACCCUCAUAACGAGUCAGCUCGGUUUGAAACCUGGCGAAGGUUUGAUUGUAAAGCACCUUGGCUUGAAACCAUUAAGGAAACGAGGUUAGCAAGAGAAAUAUUAGGGCACCAAGCAGAAUUUUACAAAAAAAAUUACCUGCUAACAAAGCCUGUCGAUCUCAUUGAAAAUAAGCGAGACAUCAAGCUCAGGCUUUUCCUCGGGUGCAACAAAAUCCUUUCAAGCACAUACUUAUCUCCGACGGGCGCCCCCGCAUCGAAAGACUCUUUAUUUUGGGCGUCCUGCAUCUCCCUCAUAGGAAAAGCCGAUCCCAAAGGGGAAUUGCUCACUUCAAUGAUUACAGCUGAAUCAAUCGGGCCCGUCUCUUGUUCCAGGAGAGCUUCAAAACCAAGCUCCCCCAGACCACCUAACGGAUGCACCUCAGCCCGAGGGGAGUUUUUGCCAAUGGGUAACUCGGGGAUAUCACCUGAAGCAACCUGGAAGGACUCUUCAAUCCGAGGUAGGACAACAACAAAAUCAAGUUCCGAUCUAGAAGCCAUCGACUUUGUAGUAUGUGGGACGGUCAAUCUUUCUCCCCCCGCAGGUGCUUCCGAGGAAUCAUCUUUUUUCUUGCCUUCAGCUCAUGGACUCCCAAUAAUUUCUAGAAUUAAGGUUGCCGAGUCAGCCUUAGGUUCUUCCACUUUGGCUUUCUUGGAUUUCGGAGAACGAGUCGGCGACUUCCUACACCUUUUCUUCUCUUUGGCGGGUUUCAUUGUAUCCGCUUCACCAAGUAGUGCUUUCCUUAUAAGGGGACCUCCCCUAGACCUGCACAGAUGCAAAUUAUAAGUGCAGGGAAUGAGGACGCUAUUAGUAAUAAUUCUUUUGUUAAGUGCAAUUACGGCAGAAUUGGAGGCUUACCGUGGUCCUUGGCUUCCCAUCGAGACUGGGACAAAUCGCGCCACAUGCGCUCGGCGUAUGGGCAAAUCAAAUCCAGCUGGUUGACCCAACCCGAGAGGUCCUUAACCGCAUUGGGGUAAACUACGAUAGCUGCAUCAGUGGAGAAUGUUAGUUCGCAGGCAGAUGUAUCCAAAAAGAAACAAGGGAACAUUUAAUUAACUUAUCUACUUACGUUUCAUGUUCCACCUUUCAGGGAACGACAUCCUCUCUAUUGGAAUCAGGUCUGAAGUCCUAACUCGGAUAUAACGACUCUUCCACCCACCGUUCCUAACCUCAUCGGUACAAGGAAGAAGGGCUCUUGAGGCCGAUAGUGGAUCUUAAUCAGGCCCCCAUGAAAGAGUCGGGGACUAUACAUUCUGACGAGGUGAUCGAGGGUGAAAGGAAUCCCCUUAAUCAUGUUCGCAUAAUAUCUGGUCAUGUAAACAAUGUGCCAGAAUGAAGGAUGAAUUUGGCCGAGGGGUUACUCGAUAUCGUUUGCAGAAGUCGAGGAUCAUGGGGUCUAUUGGAGGCGAGGAUGGCUCCACUAGGCCAAGGAUAAAUAGAUAAGUAUACACACUGAGAAAGUCAGCCUUGUAUGAUGUUAUAUCCUCCCCCCGAGAAGGAAUCUCCACAAGCACCGCAUCCCCCCUACGGUAGUCAGUCUUCACCCUUUCUUUGCUAUUGAACUAACAUAUUGGGACACACGUUCGUAUCGUCCUGGCUUUGAAGAAGGUUUUUCGGUCUUAAAAUCAGAAGUCAUUUCAAAGGAUCCUGGAACGCAUUCCCCGACGCGAGGAGGCAUUAUUGCUUUACCCUUAGACGAGCGCGAGGAUGAAGAAGGCACAUCUUCCUGAAGAACAGGGUGGAAGUUUUUGCCAUUCUUGUUAAGAGAUUUCAGAGGAGAAAUGAAAAUUGUGUUUCAGGAGAGAACACAAGAGAGAGGUAAGAAGAACUCUUUUGAGGGCUUGGUGGUGCAGUGGAAGACAAGGAGAGAAAGAAGAGGUAUUUAUAGAGGUCUAACGUGAACGUUGGAGCGAACUAAAGGAUAUCCAACCGUUGUAAUUAAUUCAAAGGCUUUUAAGGGCUCUAUGAAUGCGACCUUUAGACACCUCAUUUUGUCAUGUCUAUCGCUUGAUAGGGCGUAACUACCGCCGUGAUGGAAGUAUCGAAGGGGUAAGAAUUCGAGAUCAUUCCUUAUCGUUUUACUCUAAGAAACGUGGGGACUAUCUGUAAACAGAUAAAAUCGAAGAGCCCGAUUUUGCAAUCAUUACGUCUUUUCGUAGCUUUACCUCAAAGGCCUGGGGGUACAGUUCAAGGUUUUGACAUCGAGGGUUCUUUAUGCCCGACCUCGGGGCUGCUUAAGCUGAUGGUUAUCAUAGACAAACGAGAAGUUUCCUAGGCACGUGGUCAAAGCUGACAACACCUGCAAGAAUAGCACCAGUCUGUACCAGACUGCUAAGUAGUUGUACCAGCUACAUUUCUUUGUAAUACAUACACAUGUACAAUGUUGGGAUUUCCCCUCCUAUAUAAAGGGGACCCUUGUUAUUUUUUGCGCACAUGACAUAAUAUCAUAUACUCGAUACAACAUUCAAUACAAGAACAUUCUCUGCUCUCUAACACAUUCUCUCUUGAUUCUAUUAUUUACAUUUAUUGCUUACAUUUAUUGUGUUCCAUUGAUUAUUCUUCAUUUAUUGCUCGUUAUUAAUCAUAAAUAGCCAUCAUCAAAGCUCUCAAAACUGUUAGUCCUUCAUCGGCUAUCCAUAACUUAGCACAUAGCUCGACCUUGAGGCCCCGAUUCUCAACCACUCGGUUUGCCUAAAUAUGCCGCUUUCAAGUUCUUAUCUCAUUUUCUACUCUCACAUGUAGCGUCUACUGCCUAACAAAUAGUAUAAAAAUAAAUCACGUAUUUUUAGAACCACAAAAUCAAAUUUAAUUGUCAUUACCAUUUUCUAGGUAAACUACACCAAAGUAUCAAUCACCAGAGAAAAACGAACUCAGAGCUAUGUGCCCGAGGACGUCUUACCAUUCUAUGACAAGGAAGCAAAAGGCAUAUCUCAGCCUCAUAACGACGCCCUGGUAAUCUCUAUCCUUUUGAAUAAAAUUCAAGUUAAACAUGUUUUAGUGGAUCCAGGUAGCUCAGCAAACAUAAUGAGAUCUAGGGUCGUGGAAGAACUCGGCCUACAAGAUUAGAUUGUACCUACAUCCCGGGUCCUGAAGGGCUUCAACAUGGCAAGCGAAACAACAAAGGGAGAAAUUUUCUUGCUUGUAAACGUAGUCAGGACCAUACAAGAUACAAAGUUCCAUGUCAUCGAAGGUGACAUGAGGUAUAACGCACUCCUCGGGAGACUAUGGAUACACAAUAUGAGGGUAGUGCCUUUAACUCUUCACCAAAUGAUGAAGUUCCCAACAGAGGAAGGAGUUAAAAUAGUCUACGGGGAGCAACAUGCUGCAAAAGAGAUAUUCGCAAUCGAGGAAGUGGUGCCGACUCCAUAGCUUUCGACCUCGAAGAAGUCGAGCACUAAAGAUAAGCAGGUGACCAAAUAACAAUCACCGCCUCCAACCUCGAUAGAGUCGGAGCAAUAGGUAAUCGAAGAUGAAGAUGAGGAUUUCCUUACUCCUCGAACCUUCGUCAUUCCCGAAGAAUCUGAUGCAACUAAAUCAACUAUCGAGGAGCUGGAACAGGUCAUUUUGAUCGAGUACAUGCCCGAGAGAAAGGUAUACCUGGGAACGGGAUUGACCCCAAACUUAGGAAAAAACUCAUUCAAUUUCUUAUUGAUAAUAUGGAUUGCUUUGCUUGGUCCCAUUUAGAUAUGAAUGGGACUCCACCGAAAAUCACCACACAUCGCCUAAGCACCGAUCCCAGGUUCAAACCGGUGAAGCAAAAAAGGAGGCCUCAAUCCGAGGUAAAGCAUGUUUUCAUAAAGGAUGAGGUAACCAAACUUCUUAAAAUAGGAUCUAUUCGGAAGGUAAAGUACCCCGAGUGUCUAGCCAACGUAGUUGUAGUUCUUAAAAAAGGAAACAAACUUAGAAUGUGCGUAGAUUAUAAGGACUUGAACAAGGCAUGUCCAAAAGUUUCUUUCCCCUUGCCAAACAUCGAUCGUAUGAUCGAUGCCACGGGUGACCAUGAGAUCCUUACUUUUCUCGAUGCCUACUCCGGGUACAAUCAGAUUCAGAUGAACCCGGAGGACUAGGAAAAGACUUUGUUUAUUACUAAGUUUGGAACUUAUUGUUACAAUGUAAUUCCCUUUGGGCUAAAAAUGCAGGAGCUACGUACCAACGCCUAGUUAACAAAAUGUUCGAAGAACAAAUAGGUAAAAAAAUAGAAUUCUAUAUUGAUGAUAUGCUGGUUAAGUCCCUACGCGCAGAGGACCAUUUAGUUCAUUUGCAGGAAAUAUUUGCAAUUUUGGGGAAAUACAACAUGAAGCUUAACCCAGAGAAUGUGCCUUCGGAGUUUGCUCGGGUAAGUUCCUCGGCUUCAUGGUGUCAAAUCGAGGUAUCGAAAUCAACUGCCAUAAGAUCAAGGCUAUCUAGGAUAUCAUGAUCGUGGAUAGUGUGAAGGCCGUGCAAAGGCUAACAAGGCAAAUAACUGCCUUGGAUCGAUUCAUUUCGAGCUCGUUGGAUCGAAGUCACCAGUUCUUUUCCUUGCUCAAAAAGAAAAAGAAUUUCAUGUGGACCAUGGAAUGUCAGCAAGCCUUAGAAGAAUUAAAAUGAUAUAUGUUGAGCCCGCCUUUGCUUCACACCCCGAAGGUAGAUGAAAGGCUUUAUCUAUACUUGGAAGUGUCCGAGAUUGUGGUAAGUGGGGUACUAGUUCGAGAAGAGCAAGGUACGCAAUUUCCUAUUUAUUAUGUAAGCUAAACUUUAGAAGAUGCUGAAACUAGGUUCCCUCACUUAGAAAAAUUAGCACUUGCAUUGAUAAGCGCAUCUCAAAAGUUAAAACUAUAUUUUCAAUGUCAUCCUAUACGUGUAUUAACCACUUACCCCCUUCGAAAUGUUUCGCAUAAGGCCGAGCUAUCGGGCCGAUUGGCCAAAUGGGCCAUUGAACUUAGUAGGUACGGUAUCGAAUAUCAACCCCGAACGACCAUCAAGUAUCAAAUCCUAGCUGACUUCAUGGCCGAUUUUACGCCGACCCUCAUACCCGAAGUAAAGAAAGAACUCCUAUUAAUCUUGGGUACAACAUCGGGGGUAUAUACCCUCUUCACGAACGGUGUCUCGAAUGUGAAGAGGUACGGGCUUGGCAUUGUCUUGAAGCCACCCACAGGUGAUACUAUUAGGCAAUCUAUCAAAACUCCUAGAUUAACUAACAAUGAGGUCGAGUAUGAGGCCAUGAUUACAGGUCUCGAUCUAGCUAAAAGCUUGGGAGCAGAAAUUGUAUACGGCCAAAAUCAAAGAGUCUAAUUUUAUGGUCGUUAUGGCACUUCGUAAGACCGCCCCCAGAAGGCUCAAGGUUUGACCCCGAAGGUUCUCAAUGAUCGACCUCGAGGCAGUUCAAAUCGAUGGCUAUGAUGGACAAACGGGAAGUUCCCAAGGCACGUGAUUAAAGCUGACUAAUUCUAUUAGGCUAGUUCAAGCCCGUACCGUGGCAUUAAAUAGUUGUACCAUCCUCAAAUCCUUGUAAUAAAUGCGUUUGUACUAUGUUGGGAUACCCCCUUAUGUAUAAAGGGGACCCUUGUCAUUUUGUAACACAUACAACAUUCAAUACAAGAACAUUCUCUGCUCUCUAACUUAAACACAUUCUCCUUUGAUUCUAUUACUUACAUUUAUUACUUACAUUUAUUGUGUAUCAUUAAUUGUCCUUCAUUUACUACUCAUUAUUGACCAUAAAGAGCUCUUAUCAAAGCUCUUAGAAUUGUUAGUCCUUCAUCGGCCGUUCACAUCCUAACGCUUAGCUCGACCUCGAGGCCUCGAUUCUCAGCCACUCGGUUUGCUCGACACACUGCCUUCAAUUUCUUACCAUAUUUUCUAGUCUCACACUUAGCAUCUACUGCCUAACAACUAGCAUAAAAAUAAAUCACAUAUUUUUAGAACCACAAAAUCAAAUCUAGGUGUAAUUACCAUUUUCAAGGUAAACAGUUUGGCGCCCACCGUGGGGCUAAAAAUAAUACUGAUUGUUUUUUUACUGGUCUGCUACAUAACGCAAGUUAUCUUUCACACUUUUUCUUAUCCAAGAAUCUUUAAUUUCAGGUCAAAAUGUCUAACUCAGUGAACGCACAUGAAAACAACGAUCUUGAGGACCAUGAAGAGAAUGGUGUAGAUGUCCCAGGUAUUGGUGUACCACUACGAAACCCUGAGGAUGCACCAGAGCCAAUCCCCAUGGAUGUGGUCUCACGCAAUGCCCAACACGUCGAUAUAAGCUUCCACACCAACAAGAGUAUAUGCCAAGAAGACCAAUAAGAGGCUUAGAAAACCCAGCUCGGGAGGAGUAAGAGGUUAGCAUUCACGUCAUCUUUGAGAUGUUAUAGGCACGACAGCUGGCGAUUUCUCAACCGCAAAGCCACCAAAAACCUCCAAGCACAGCGGAACCAGAAGCAUCCCCUCAAGCCGAACAUGUACCAGAAAGGUCAAGCAACAACGGGUCAAUAGCUGACCCCUCCAUUAUAAAGAUGCUCGAGGAUCUCACAAAGAGGAUCGAAUUGGGUGAAAAAAAGAUAGAAGCCAACGACAAAAAGGUGGAGACCUACAAUUCAAGGGUUGAUCAGAUUCCGGGCGUACCCCCGAUCCUGAAGGGUGUAGAUUCAAAGAAGUUUGUGCAAAAGCCAUUCCCAUAAAAUGCCGCUCCAAAGCCCAUCCCAAAUAAAUUCAGAAUGCCCGAUCUUCUGAAGUACAACGGAACCUCGGACCCCAAUAAGCACGUCACUGCUUACACUUGUGCGGUGAAGGGCAACGACAUGAGGGACGAUGAAGAUCGAAUCCGUGCUGCUAAAAACGUUCGGAGAAACACUUUCGAAAGGGGCCAUUAUUUGGUAUCACAACCUAGCCCCAAAUUUGAUAGACUCGUUUGCCAUGCUGGCAGAUUCUUUCAUAAAGGCACAUGUCGGUGCCAUAAAGGUGGCUACAAGGAAAUCCGAUGUCUUCAAAAUCAAACAAAAAGAAAAUGAGAUGCUGUGGGAGUUUGUAUCUCGCUUUCAAAUGGAGUGAAUGGAGUUACCACUAGUCUCCGAUGACUGGGCAGUGCAGGCCUUCACCAAAGGAUUGAACGAAUGAAGCUCGGUGGCUUCGAAGUAGCUGAAGCAGAAUUUAGUUGAAUAUCCCGUUGUGACUUGGUCGGAUGUCCACAACUCAUAUCAAUCAAAGAUUAGGGUCAAGGACGACCAACUAGGAGCCCCCACGGGCUCGGUAUUUCCUAGUAGGCUUCCGACAAAGGAAUUAAGGCCAAAAAAGAAAGGUACCAACCAUACACCGAAGAUAGAAGAAAUGCCCCAAGCCGUAACAUACACUGAAAUAAUCAAAGGACAGAUCGAGGUCAGAAUCUUGGGGGACUCGUAAGCAAAGUCGGAUUCGAUAGACACACAUGACUGACGGAGGCACCCCGCUUGUCUGAAUACAACUUCAACAUUGACGUUUUGGACAUUGUAUUUGCCAUCGGUAAAAUCAAAGACACCCGUGGCCAAGACCUGUACUAUCAAAUCCGUAUUAGAGGAACCCUAACUUAGUGUGCAAAUUUCACGGCACACACAGUCAUAGGACCGAAGAUUGUAGACAGCUCCGAGAAUAAGUAGCUCGGCUACUCAGCUAAGGGCACCUCUGAAAGUUCCUUAGCGACCAAGCCAAAAGUUUGCUCCGAGAAAGAGAGGCGAAUAGGAAAAAUGAAAGAGAUGAGCCGCAACAUGUCAUCCAUAUGAUCGUUGGAGGAAUCGACAUCCCGCAGGAACCCAUUGUCAAAAGAACAAAAAUAUCCAUCACCAGGGAGAAGCAAACUCAGGGUUAUAUACCCAAAGAUGCGCUCAAAAAAUUCACGCCUAAGAGGGCCUCGAUAGAAAAACUUUGUAAUGGGCCAAACGGUCAGAUGAGUCGUGUCCGUAUAGAAUAGUUGAGCCCCGACGGCAAAACAUGUAUGCAUGUAUCAAUUAUUUGAAGAAGCAUUCUGUUAAUAUCAAAAACACUUUAUGUCUCAAAGAAGUCUACUAUUAUACAAGCUCUACACUUAUAAUCCUACGGGAAAUGGCUCAAGAGCAUAAAAGCGCCCCUGAAUACUCGGGGACUGUCAUCAACAAUCAGUACAUCCGAGUCAUUGAAAACUCAAACUCAUAAGACCUCAAAGAGGCACCCCCUCGAAAUAAAGGCCAAGGCCAAUAUACUCGGGGACUAACUUUUCAAACAAGUUCAAAAAGUUAUCGGGAAACAAGUCCAAGUGAAAUACCCGAAGGCUAUGGCCAUAUAAACACUACGGUCCUAUAAAGGCUAUGGCCAAAAUAAUGCGGCUCGGAGGUGUCCGACUUCCACAAUAAAUUAAAGGCCUUCAAACAUUGAAAAUCAGGUUUAAUCAGGCUACCCUCGGCAAAAUAAAAACAUAAAGGGCUUCGAUAAAUUCAACCCUCGAAUAAUUAAACGGCUUCGAUAAAUUCAGCCUUCGAAUAAUUUAAAGACUUCGAUAAACAUCAGCCAUCAGAAAAACCUCAAGAGGUAUUCGGCUAUUAUUACACAAAAAAGUUACUAAUAAAGUUGCGAUACGUCAAAUCCUCAAAAAACCCAACGGGUACAAAAAACACAUGCUAAGGCAUACAAAAUUUUACUAAGUCUUUUAGCCAAAAAGAGGGAGAAAGUAUAGCCACUUUAAAGGCCGAAUCGGCCCAACCUAAAGAUCCUAAGGGCCGACUUAAAGAGCCCAAGGGCCGAUAUAUAAGAGCCUAAGGGCCGAUAUAUAAGAGCCUAAGGGCCAACUUAAAAGAGCUUAAGGGCCAAAAUAUAUAGAGUUCGAGACCUCGCUCUCACUCAACUCGGACUCAAGAGUCCCAUUAUUUUUAGCUCAUAUCGAAUUGAUUUAAGCUUAGAUCGAGGAUUAACAAAACCUUAAGGGGUAUUAUAUUGAUCAAUAAAAACCUAAGGGUUUAUUAUGUUCUGAGUCCGAAUCAAAACUCGGACUGAUUGUUUGAAUUAUCGAAAUCUUCCACAAAUGAAAACAAAAUAAAAUUCGACAGAAGUUGAGGAUAGAGCAAAAAUAUACUUUAUAUUCAUGAGGGGUGUUUUACAAAACAUAUUUACAAUGCCCGAAAAGGGCCCUUGCACAGAAAAGAAAAAGAGAACCUGAUCUAUUUUCGAGGUCAUAUCCCCGGGAGUGCCAUCCUCAAGAACUGCACAUUCGUCAGCUCUAUCUUCGGGAGCCUCCUCUCCCUCAGGAACAUCUUCUUCACCUUUCUCGUCCCCCGAGCCACUCGUUACCUCCUUAUCAUCGAAAGAGACAUGAAACCUGGCAUCGGUUUCCCGCGCCUUUGCCUCGGCUAUCUCCUCAGCAAGGUCGAACCCUCGGGCAUGGAUUUCUUCGAGAGUCUCCCUACGGGCUUGGCACAUGGACAAAUCAUUGCUCCUUUUUUCCCGGACGGAGGCCUCCCUCAACUCUGCUUGAAUGGUCACAGCGUCCUUUAAGUAUAUGGCAAUGGAUUUAUUAGCUGCAGCCUUCGUCUUCUCAGCUUCAGCCUUAGCCUGAACAACUUCGGCUCGGGCUCUAGCGAGCUCUGCCUCUAACUCCUCAAUUUUCUUAGCCUGGGCUUGACCCUUCACAUUAAUGCCUCGGAGUUAAGUUUCAGCCAAGGCCAGUUGGGCUGUAACAGCUUCCUUAUCGGCAGCGAGCUGAUCCAUGCUCUCUUUCCAUCGAUGGCAAUCGGCUUUAACUUGAUCAACCUCGCCUCGGAGCUGCCCAAUCAUCUCUAACUUUUGCCGCAACUGAGAUAUCAAAGUGUUAGCCUCCGAAGUAAGGCCAAGAAAGCCAUACUCUGUUAAAAUCACAAUUAUCUGCUCAUCUAGCUCGGACUCAUUUUUCCGAGCUUUGGCCAAUUCAGCCCGGAGGUCCUUAAGCUCCUCUUCCUUUCGGCUACAGAAGAGCCUCAGGGCCUUCUCUUUACCCGAAACUUUCCUAUGCUCGGCCUCACAUUGGCUCAACUCAGCUCUAAACUUAAUGAUGUCCUAUACAUGAAAUGAAGAUAUAUCAGUCAAAGGAAAAGGAGGAAAGGAAACAAUUACAACAAUGAAAGUUAGUAUUUACCCGACACAGGAGAUGUUGAGCCUCUUCAAAAAUGGUGGACGCAUCAUUGAGGUCAAUAGUAUCCUCGACCCCAGCAAAGCAACUCUGAAAGGGAUCUUCUUCGAGGACCUUGCUCGGAUCGGGCAUACGCAGAGCGUUAGCUUCUUUGAUUGCCUCCUCAAAAUAAGUUGGCAAAGAAAGAGCGUGACUUGUUGUCAUGGACCCGAGCUCUUCACCCGGGGUGUUCUAAUUAGCUUCGGGGGUCUCCCCAUUUGCCCCUUCUGGUAUAUUUGUUGAAGUCGAAGGAACGAUCUCAACCUCCGGGGACACGGGGCCCUUACCCGUAUCUUUCUUUGGGGUUCCCUCACCACAUAAUGAGGUCUCUAGUUUGGAGGGCUUGGCGGCCUCGAUUGGUUUCCUGGCUCGAUGCACCAACGCGGACUCUUCACUGUCAUUUUCUUCGUCAUCCGGGGAAUCGUGGGUCGAAUCUGCGCCUGCUUGAGCAAAUCUCUUACGCAGCCUUCAAGCAGGGGUUUUCUUGUCUUGAGGAUCUUCAGGCUUCGAACCCUUUUUCUUUUGUUGUCCUUCUCAAACUUCAGGAUCGAUGACUUGGUCCCUUCCCCGGGCGGGGCUGGCCUCAUUUCGGAGAUAUCUCUGAUGCCUGCACAAGUAAAUAUGAAUAAGUUGAUGCCACAAAAGAAUGGAAAACAUCUAAAACUUGAAAAGAAAAUUUACCAUGAUGUUUGGCCUCCCAUUUGUCCCUCGAUAGACCAUGCCAUUUGCGCUCAUCAUACGAGGAGGUCGCGGCCAACUUUCGGACCCAGUCCUCGAGAUCGGGUACAACGUGAGGUGUCCGAGAAACAACUGCAGAAAAGAUAAAAAUAUUAUUAUGGGAUGUGGAAGUUGAGUAUAUAUAGAUAUUAGGGAGAAUGACUCCACUUACGAUUAUAAUUUCAUCACUCCGGGAACGACAUUUUGUCCCGGGGAAUGACGUCUGAAGUCCUUACUCUAACGAACAGGCUCAUCCAACCCCGAUCCUUGGCUUCGCCGUUACUGGCAAAUAAGGCUUUCUUCGUGUGACGUUGUAACUUGACAAGCCCUCGAAACAGCUGGGGCUGGUAUAGUCGAAUCAAGUGGUUGAGAGUGAAUUCCAACCCCUUGGCCUUUUCGGAAAAGUAGCGCAGCAUAAUCACGAUGCGUCAAAAAGAGAGAUAAAUCUGGCCGAGGGUGAUUUCGUACGUUUUGCAGAAGCCGGUCACCACCGGAUCAAGGGAACCCAGUGUGAAGGGGUAAGUGUAAACACUUAAAAACCCCUCUACAUGGGUAGUAAUGCUUUCCUCGAGGCUCGGGAUCUGAACAAUGACCUCAUCUCCCCAGCCAGUGGCCUUCUUCAUAUCCUUAAGGUGCUCGUCCGAUAUCAAGCUAAGAUAUCGAGAUGCAUGCUCGCAUCGGCCUAGGACAUUGGAGGGAUUUCCAAUACUAAAAUACUUCUUAAUAACACAAGGGUCGGGGUGAUUUCUUCAAGAGUCCGCGGCAUCAUCAGUUUGGCCGACUGGGAGGUAGAAGAAGACGGCUCUUUAUCUUUAUUGGGGACCGUUUUGGAUGUUUUAGCCAUGAUUUCAAGCUAAAGAAUAUAGACUGUAUCAGAAUGUUAUGUUUUUAUAAGAACUUGGCAUUUUUUGGCGCUUAUGAAGGCGGUGGAGACAGUGAUUAGAGAAAGAGAUGAAGAAGAAAAAGAUGUAAUAAAAGAGUAAAGUUCUUUACUCAAAGGAAUAGCCUCAUAUUUAUAAAAGGGCAACGACGGUUCGGCGACGCUAGUGGCUGACCAAUACUGGCGUGCAUUCAAUGUUUUGGGGAAAUGGAUUGAUGGGAAGUUUCAGUCACUUCGAAUGCCUGUAUAACGGAAAUGAUGUCGUCACUAAAGACUUUGGAAAAACGAGGAUCAAAUCGUUACUUAUCAUCUUAUUCUAAAAAACGCGGGGACUAUAUGCAUACGAUUAAAAUCGUAUGCCUCUAAUUUAUAGGCCCGAGUGUCCAUCCUAGGCCUAAGUACGGGCGAGGUCGAGUUCGAGACCGACUGAUCAGACUUGAGCUCAACGCCAGAGUGCGAUGCCCGGAGAUAGGAGUGCGAGGAAUAGUGGGUCCAAGUGUGCUCGACCCUGAAAUAGUAUCGUUAUGGAUUUAUACCAGAACGAGUUAGAUUCCUGCCAUGUCCCCAAAGUCAUGGCUCAAAUCCCGGAAUAGGAUUGUACGAUUCUGUACUAGGCGGUUAGAUAGCUGUACCUUGAAUAUUCCUUACUGUAAAUAGAAAUAUACCUUAUUUAGGGGUUCUCCUAUUAUAUAAAGGGGACCCUAAUCAUUUGUAACAUCAUCUAAUCAUUGAGAAAAGAAUAUACUCUCUACAUUUUUGCCUACUGCCCAUCAGAAUUAUCCUUAGCUUUAGUGCUCUUACUUUACUUUUCUUACUUAAUUGUUCUUAUUGCUUUAAGCCCACCUCAAGGUCACUAAGCUCGAGGCCACCGCUGUCAAGCAACAUUGGUUUGAUUUGCUUUUUUCUUUCAUUUAUACUUCAUAUUUCUUGAUUAUUAAUUGGUAUUGAACUAAAUCACAUAUCUUUAAAAUAACAAAUCAAAUUUGAUUGUUACUCGUAUUUUCGAGGUAGAUAAAAAUGGAACUUUCUUACGGGCACAACUAGACAAUAGAUUAUACCUUUCAUAUUAACUAGUCCCUCCAUUUCUAUUUAAGGGAAUACCUUAUCUUCUUACUCGAUUUCAAAGAGAAUGACAAUUUUUUUUUUUAAAAAUUUAAAGAUAAAUGUUACAUAAACUUUUUGUUUUAUCCUUUAAUGAAUUUUUUUGUAUAACUUAAUGAAUUAUUUAAAAUCAUAAGUUUCAAAAGUCUUUAAAUUAUAAGUUCUAAUAUUUUUUGUUCUUUAUAGUGCUAUUUGAACAUCAUGCCCCUUUACAAGCUUAAAUUUAAGAAAAUGAUCUUUUUAGAUCUCUUAUGUGUAAAAGACAGAUCUCUUAUGUGUAAAAAUAAAUCUCUCAUGCGUAAAAAAAAGAGGUAGGGUCAUAAAAUAAAAAACAAGUUUGUAAAGAGCCAAAAAAUCAAUUGAUCUGUACUUCGUGCAUAUUAAAACUCUGUCACUUAAAUUUGAAUAAAAGGAGUAUAUUCAAAUACAGAAACAAAACCGCAUCACUGCUUUAAAAGAUUCAGGGGGUAACUAGAUUUAUGAACAAACAAAAAUAAAUGAAAUGGUAGAAUCUUAUUGUAAAACUUUAUUUACAACUACUCACACUUACUCAACCAAAUCUUAUCCAGUUGCGCCUUACAAUAUACUAAAUACCGACGAUUAUCAUACACUCAACACCACACUUACCAUUGAGGAAAUCCACAGUACAAUGAACUCGUUUAAACCCUUAAAAGCGCCAAGACCUGAUGGCCUAUAUCUCUUUUUUAUUUCAGAAGUACUGGUCCUAUAUUGCAAAUUCUAUCACAUCCUUUUGUCAUGAAGUUUUCAAUAACCAAUACCUUCCUCCAAUAGCGAACAAAAUGUAUAUGUGUCUCAUUCCAAAAAAAUUCCACCCAUCUUCAGUUACCCAAUUAGACCCAUUGCCCUUUGUAAUACACUUUAUAAAAUAAUAAUGAAAAUUAUUGUUAAUAGGAUCAAGCCUCUAUUACAAAAGCUUAUUAGUCCUGAACAAUCAGAUUUUCUAAAACAACGUCGUACUUCUGAUAAUGCAAUUAUCGUGCAGGAAAUUCUAAAUUAUUUUGGUAAAAAGAAAGGCAAACAAGCAAACUUUCUUUGAAAAUUAAAUCUUAAAAAAGCUUUUGAUCAAAUGGGUGUGCAUUCAUUAAAGAUACAUUACAUUACUUCAACUUCGCAGCCCCAUUAAUUUCACUAAUUAUGUCCUACAUCACUACCUUAUUCAUCUCCAUUUUACUAAACAGAAAACCCAUAGAAUUCUUUACACCUAUAAAAGGAAUCCGUCAAAGUGACCCACUCUCACCAUACAAUUCAUUUUAUGCAUGGAACGACUAUAUCGUCAAAUUCAUACGGCCGUAGAUUAUAAACAAUGGAUUCCAGUCCAAUUAUCCAGUUGAGGUCCAUCUAUCUCACACUUACUCUUUGUUGAUAAUAUCAUCCUGUCUUUAUGUCUCAUAACUACCAGUAUUCAUACAAUUAUCGAUGUACUUAACACAUUUACUCACAAGUCGGGACAAAAAAUAAAUUAUGCAAAGUCAAAAAUAUUCUUCUCUAAAAAUACUACUCCUCAUGAUAAACAGACCAUCCUUACUUCAUUUUGUAUGAAAGAAGGUGUCAAAUUUGUAAAAUAUCUAGGCUUCCCUCAAUUCACUCAAAGACUCAUCAAAGCUGGUUACCAAUUUAUCAUGGAUAAUAUAUUAAAACAAGGCUAGCUGGAUGAAAAAUUAAUAUGCUAAAUAUGGCAAGACGAAAAACUUUAAUUAAGUCUAAGUUAAACUCAAUUCCAACUCAUGUUAUGCAAGUUAUUAAACUUCCUCACAAUAUCAUAGAUUAUAUGGAAAGGGCCAACGAAUUUUUUUUUUUUUUUUAGAGGUACAACACAACGUAGAAGGAAACCGCACCUCGUAAAAUGGAAGACUAUACAACAAUCAAAGAAAAGGGGUGGAGGUGGGAGGUAUUCAAAACAUAACUAUGAAAAAUAAUGCUCUACUAGGUGCCUUAGCUUGGAGAUUGUUCACAUCACCAACAAUACAAUGGGCUUCUAUACUCAUCAAUAAGUAUGCAAUAAAACCAACCAACAUCAAUUUUUUAAUAUAUGAAAAGUUGUCAAAUUAGGUUGGCAAGAUUGUCAAUAAGGCCUACUAUGGCACAUUGCCACCAGACAACAUAUACAUUUUUGGACGGAGCCUUGGGUUGGGCCAAAUAUUAUACUCAAGAACAUUGUUGAUGGCCCACUACCAAACAACGAACAAAGUUCCACAUUGUGCAACAUUUGACCCAAGAUAUGGUAAACAUCAAUGCCUUACCUUUUGAGCUACCAUUAACUAUUGUAAACAAAAUGCACAAAAUUUAUAUACAACCAUUACAUAAUUCACAAGUUUAUGACCAACUCAUCUAGGGACUAACCCCUAACGGAAAAGUUACAGUGCAAUCUCUGUACUAUAAACUACAAAACACAUAGGUAGUUCAAAACUUUAAAUGGAUAUGGGCAUUACAGUUGCCACAAAAAAUUAAGUACUUUCUUUGAUAAUUGGGCACAAUCGCUUACCAACUGCUGCAUAUCUUUAUAAACUUCAUAUUAAUCCAUUCACAAUCUGCCCUAUUUGUCACAAAGAUGAGGAAAUCAUUGCCCAUUUAUUAUUCAAUUGCCUCAAGACACAACCUCUUUGGAAUAACAUGGGAAUCACAACACUCAUACAAAUAUUGGGAUAUAACGAUGACCUACCACUACACAACAUUUACACCCUCAUCUGUACUAACAAACAAAUGCCAUCUCAAAUCUCAGCCAAAAUACUCUUACCAUAGGCCUUAUGGCACAUUUGGCACUGCAGCAAUAAAAAGAUUUUUGAAAAUGUUGAAACAAUCAUUCCUUCCAACAUAUCCUAUCUCAAGAGGCAGAAUACCACUAUAUAAUUCAAAAGAAUGCUAUACAACCACAAAUUAAAAUAAUGUACAUCAAAUGGAAACCACCCACUGCAGGAGCCAUUAAACUUAAUACCGAUGGCUCCUCCACUGACACGCCUCCUAAAUAUGGGUUGGGUGGGGUCUUCCGCAAUUCAACUGGCAACUGGCUACUAGGCUAUGCUGGAAGCAAGCCAACGGAAGACCCUACUUCAAUGGAACUAUGCACUUUGCUACAAGGAUUGCACAUUGCCUAGAGACACAAAUUAAUACCACUGAAAAUCAAUGCGGACUCUAUCGAGGUAAUAUCUAUGCUACAAAACCACAACAUGCACUACUCAUCUCUACUGUUUGAAUGCAUGUACUUACUCCGCCAGCUGGGUUGACCAUGUAUUAUGCAUACAUACAUGGAGCAGAAUCGGUUCCUGAUAGGUUAGAAAUAUAUGGUGCCACUAUGGCAAUGAGAGAGAAUUUGAAUCUACUCGUCCAACCGCCAACCUUUUUGAUAAACGAAUUAAGUAAAUAUCUAAACGGCACUAUCUACCUAAGAAAAACUACUUCUGCACCACUCGCUUCUAUUUCUUUUUGUUUAGAUGCACCAUAUACGGGAUGUAAGAGCAUGGACUCUGAUAUGAAUCAGUCCAACAACUUACUUACAUCUUCUUUUUGUAACCUAGGGUAAAGCAGGCCCCAAGCUCCUUGUAAAUUUAACUGUCUUUAAUAUAAAGUUAUUUCGUCGGUUCACCAAAAAAAAAGAAUAAAAGGAAUAUAUAUAAAGAAAUGUUAUAAAUAUAUUAUAUUAUGGAUAUUCAUUUAGUACUCCGUUAUAAACAAGCUUCCUGAAGAAGCUUAUCCAUANNNNNNNNNNNNNNNNNNNNNNNNNNNNNNNNNNNNNNNNNNNNNNNNNNNNNNNNNNNNNNNNNNNNNNNNNNNNNNNNNNNNNNNNNNNNNNNNNNNNNNNNNNNNNNNNNNNNNNNNNNNNNNNNNNNNNNNNNNNNNNNNNNNNNNNNNNNNNNNNNNNNNNNNNNNNNNNNNNNNNNNNNNNNNNNNNNNNNNNNNNNNNNNNNNNNNNNNNNNNNNNNNNNNNNNNNNNNNNNNNNNNNNNNNNNNNNNNNNNNNNNNNNNNNNNNNNNNNNNNNNNNNNNNNNNNNNNNNNNNNNNNNNNNNNNNNNNNNNNNNNNNNNNNNNNNNNNNNNNNNNNNNNNNNNNNNNNNNNNNNNNNNNNNNNNNNNNNNNNNNNNNNNNNNNNNNNNNNNNNNNNNNNNNNNNNNNNNNNNNNNNNNNNNNNNNNNNNNNNNNNNNNNNNNNNNNNNNNNNNNNNNNNNNNNNNNNNNNNNNNNNNNNNNNNNNNNNNNNNNNNNNNNNNNNNNNNNNNNNNNNNNNNNNNNNNNNNNNNNNNNNNNNNNNNNNNNNNNNNNNNNNNNNNNNNNNNNNNNNNNNNNNNNNNNNNNNNNNNNNNNNNNNNNNNNNNNNNNNNNNNNNNNNNNNNNNNNNNNNNNNNNNNNNNNNNNNNNNNNNNNNNNNNNNNNNNNNNNNNNNNNNNNNNNNNNNNNNNNNNNNNNNNNNNNNNNNNNNNNNNNNNNNNNNNNNNNNNNNNNNNNNNNNNNNNNNNNNNNNNNNNNNNNNNNNNNNNNNNNNNNNNNNNNNNNNNNNNNNNNNNNNNNNNNNNNNNNNNNNNNNNNNNNNNNNNNNNNNNNNNNNNNNNNNNNNNNNNNNNNNNNNNNNNNNNNNNNNNNNNNNNNNNNNNNNNNNNNNNNNNNNNNNNNNNNNNNNNNNNNNNNNNNNNNNNNNNNNNNNNNNNNNNNNNNNNNNNNNNNNNNNNNNNNNNNNNNNNNNNNNNNNNNNNNNNNNNNNNNNNNNNNNNNNNNNNNNNNNNNNNNNNNNNNNNNNNNNNNNNNNNNNNNNNNNNNNNNNNNNNNNNNNNNNNNNNNNNNNNNNNNNNNNNNNNNNNNNNNNNNNNNNNNNNNNNNNNNNNNNNNNNNNNNNNNNNNNNNNNNNNNNNNNNNNNNNNNNNNNNNNNNNNNNNNNNNNNNNNNNNNNNNNNNNNNNNNNNNNNNNNNNNNNNNNNNNNNNNNNNNNNNNNNNNNNNNNNNNNNNNNNNNNNNNNNNNNNNNNNNNNNNNNNNNNNNNNNNNNNNNNNNNNNNNNNNNNNNNNNNNNNNNNNNNNNNNNNNNNNNNNNNNNNNNNNNNNNNNNNNNNNNNNNNNNNNNNNNNNNNNNNNNNNNNNNNNNNNNNNNNNNNNNNNNNNNNNNNNNNNNNNNNNNNNNNNNNNNNNNNNNNNNNNNNNNNNNNNNNNNNNNNNNNNNNNNNNNNNNNNNNNNNNNNNNNNNNNNNNNNNNNNNNNNNNUUGUUUUAGGUGUUUUAAGGAUUGGUAUAAGUUUGGAAAGUGGUAUUGUACUUGUUGGUGCCUUUUGUUGAGGUCCCGGGGGGCCUCGGGAUGGUUUAGGGAGGUUGUCGGAAGAAUUUGGAAUUGUUUGAGUAGCUUCAGCUUCUAGUUUUCUGUCAUAACCGCACCUGCGGUUGGGUCCCACAGGUGCGUAUUCACAGAUGUGGAAAUUGCCAUCGCAGAAGUAGAAAUGGGGAGGAACAGUAGGUGCCGUAGAAGCAGGAGAAUUUCCGCAGGAGUGGUACCUCAUCUGCGAAUGGGUAGUCGCAGGUGCGGAAACAGGCUGAGUUAGUGAUUGUCACAGAUGCGACCGUUGGUCCACAAAAGGAGGACCGCAGGUGAGCUCCCAUGACCGCAGAAGUGGUUUACCUGGGCAGAAACAUAUAAAUUCUUGCCUUCGCGAAUUUUAGCUAUUUUCACCUCUUUUCAAACGGGAAGAAGCCUUGAGGAGCACUUUCAAGGGAUAUUUUCAGAGGAGUUCAUUGGGGUAAGGUCUUUGGUCCCUAAACUCAUUAUUGGGGUGAUUUUUAUCAUUAUAAACAUGAAAAUUUAAGGAAAAUCAGUGGUAAUUUCGGGGUUAGGGCUUGACUAAUUAGAGACCUUUGAGUGAUGAUUUGAGAGACCAUUUGAGGUCCGAUGUUGGUACUUUUGGUAUGACUGAACUCGUGAGAGUGUGAGGAUUCUGGAAAUGUAAAUUUUACCUGAUUCUGAGAUAUGGGCCCGAGGGGCAUUUUGGUCAUUUUAUCUAAUUUUGCGUAUUAGCUUAGAAUUUCUUUGUAGAAUCAGUUACUUGAAGUGUUAUUUACAUUAUGACAUUGAAUUGAAUAAAUUUGGGCCAUUUGGAGUUGAGUACUCGUGGCAAGAGCGUGGUUUCAGAUUGAUUUGAGUUGGUUCGAGGUAAGUGGCUUGCCUAACCUUGUGUGGGGGACUUUCCCCUUAGGAUUUUUUAUAUUUGAUAAUUUAAAUACCUUGUACAUGAGGUUACGAGUGUGUACUUGAGCUAAUUAUUGAAAAUCCGGUUUUCUUUAAGUAAUUUCAAUUGUGUUCCUUUUCCUGUUUUAUACUACUUGCAAUUUAAGCAUGUUGUUAGCUUAGAAAAGCAUGUUUAAUUGACUAAAUUGCUUAUUUGCUUAAACUGUCUUAAUUGCAUUAUGUGGAGCACAUUAGGUUAGAAUUAUCUGUUUACUUGGUACGAAAUUUAGCUUAAUUGAGUAUUCCUUAUAUUGUUGCUGCGUGUUUUACUUUGGGACUACGGGACGGCAUCCCGGGAGAUCCCUAGCACGUAUAUUGAGGAUACCAAGAGAUCCUUGUGAUACCAAGAUAUCCCUAGCAUAUAUUGAGGAUACCGAGAGAUCCUCGGGAUACCAAGAGAUCCCUAGCAUAUAUUGAGGAUACCGAGAGAUCCUCAGGAUACCAAGAGAUCCCUGGUAUAUAUUGAGGGUACUAAGAGAUCCUCGGGAUACUGAGAGAUCCCCGGUUAUUAUUCUUAUGAAGAGUGGUAUUUCCUUGUGACUAUUUUUGCCUCUAAUUCAGUUAUUGAGUUCCUUAUUUUCAUGUAUUAAAUUCUUAUUGUUAGCUUUCAACUGUACUACUUAUCUUAUUCUGUCAUACCUUUUAUUUUUAUUAUAUCUCAAUAGGGCCCUGACCUUCCUCGUCACUACCCGAUCGAGGUUAGGCUUGGCACUUACUAAGUACCACUGUGGUGUACUUAUGCCCUUUUUGCGCAUGUUUUUCAUGUGCAGAUCUAGGUAUUUCGACCCAGUCUUAUCACCCUUGAGGCGAGGCGACUGCUCCAGAGACUUCGAGGUAUAGCUGCCGCGUCCGUACACUGAGGAAUCCCUUUCCAUUCUAUCUUGUAGUGAUAGCCCUUCUAUCUUUUCUGUUGAUGUAGACAUUCUGGAGUUAGAGCAUUUUUAUUAUAUUUGUAGCUUGUGAUUCAUGGGUUUCUGGGUUUUGGGAAAAAGUAUUAGUUUUUGAGAGCUAAUAUUGUGUAUGCUGAGCGGCACUUUUAAACGCUAUUUUAUUACUCUAUUUCUGUUUUAAAUUUUUUUCUUUCGCAAAUUGGUUUAUCUUCCGCAUUUUAGGCUUACCUAGUCGUAGAGACUAUGUGCCGUCAGAUGGUUCACGGAGGGCGAACCGGGGUCAUGACAAGUUGGUAUCAGAGCUCUAGGUUCAUAGGAGUCAUGAAUCACAAGCCAGUUUAUUAGAGUCACGCUGAUCGGUACGGAGAUAUCUGUACUUAUCUACGAGAGGCUAUGUAUCUGUUAGGAAAAUUCCACUUCAUUUGAUUUCCUUGUCAUGCGAGAUUUUGAUAUCACAAUUCUAAACUUCUAUCUUCUAUUCUUUCACAGAUGGUGAGGACACGCGCUACCCGAGAUGAUCAAGCACCCGCGCCCCCUACUGCAGCCGUCAGAGGCCGGGGUCAUAGUAGAGGGCGAGGACGCAUACGUGGUGCAGCCGGAGCACUUAUGUGAGCUGCCACCGAGGUACCACCACCAGUUCCAGCUGGAGUCCAGGCACCUGAUAUGCCUACUGCUACUACUACUCAAGCACUUCAGGAGACUCUAGCACAGUUCAUAAGCAUGUACACCACUCUAGCUCAGGCAAGGUUUCUCCCCCUUGUUGCAGCUACAUCUCAGGCCGGGGGAGGGGCACAGACUCACACCGCCUGCACUCCUGAGCAGCUAGUGCAUGUUGAGAAGGUCUUAUUCCUGUGCAGCCUGCAGUCCGAAAUUAGCUCAAGGACAAGGCAGCAGUUUUCGCGGAUUAGCAGCUGAGGCUUGAGAGGUUCAAGAAGUACAAGCCUCCUGUAUUCAGUGGUCUAGCAUCAGAUAAUGCUCUGGGAUUUCUAGAUGAGUGUUACCGCAUUCUCCAUACCAUGGGUAUAUUAGGGUCGAGCGGGGUUUCCUUCACUACUUUCUAGCUUCGAGGAGCCGCCUAUGAGUGGUGGUACACCUAUGAGUUAGACAGUCCGGAUGAGGCUGCUUCACUAACUUGGACUCAGUUUUUAGAUCUAUUCCUGAGAGAGUAUGUUCCUCAAAGCCUCAGGGAUGCAUGGCGCGUAGAGUUUGAGCAUUUGCGAUAGGGUUCUAUGACUGUCUUAGAGUAUGCUGUCUGUUACACUAGUUUGGCUAGACAUAUACCAGCCUUGGUUUCUACUGUUCGCGAGAGGGUUCGACAGUUUAUUGAGGGCCUUAUUCCCAGCAUUAGGUUUAGCAUGGAUCGUGAGUUAGAGAUGGAUAUUUCUUAUCAGCAGGUGGUGAGCAUUGCUAGGAGGAUUGAGGGUAUGCAUGCUANNNNNNNNNNNNNNNNNNNNNNNNNAGAGAGAAGAGAGGGAGGCCAAGAGGUCUCGAGAGUCGGGCCAUUAUUCUAGUGCUCGUGCCCGAGCUGCAGGUCAUCAUGGUAGGGUUUAUAUGAGUCGCCUUGUUCAUUCAGCCCUUCCAGCAGCCAGUGGUAUUUCAGCUCCUCCUAGGUCUUAGGAGUCUUAUUAUGCACCUCUGGUAUCUAGCGCGCCUCCUGUGCGGGGUGCUUUUAGAGGUCAGUCCAGCAGACCUGGCCCAAGCCAGUCACAGCCGCCACGUCUUCCUAGAGCAUGUUUUGAGUGUGGUGACCACACCAUGUGGUGAGGGAUUGUCUUAGACUUGGGAGGAGUGCGCCUCCACAGACUUCUCAGCCACAGCGCGCACCGCAGAGCUCUCAGGCUAUGGUUACAGCUCCAGUUGCUACCCUAUCUGCUCAGCUAGCUAUAGGUGGAGGUCAGGGAGGUAGAGGUCACCCUAGAGGGGGAGGUCAGACCCGAUACUAUGCUCUUCCUGCUCGUACCGAGGUUGUUGCCUCUGAUUCUGUCAUCAUAGGUAUUAUACUGGUUUGUCACAGAGAUGCAUCGGUUCUAUUUGAUCCAGGCUCCACUUACUCUUAUGUGUCUUCUUAUUUUGCUACACAUUUGGGUGUACCUUGGGAUUCUUUGAGUUCCCUUUUUAUGUUUCUACUCCUGUGGGAGAUUCUCUUGUUGUGGACCGCAUUUAUCGGUUGUGUUUGGUUACUCUUAGUGGUUUUGAGGCCAGAGCCGAUUUAUUAUUGCUUAGCAUGGAAGAUUUUGAUAUUAUCUUGGGCAUGGACUGGUUGUCGCCCCAUUAUGCUAUUCUUGAUUGUCACGCCAAAACCGUGAUGCUGGCUAUGCCAGGUGUACCACGUAUUGAGUGGAGGGGUACUUUAGAUCACACUCCCAGUAGAGUUAUUUCUUUUCUUAAAGAUCAGCGUAUGGUUGAGAAGGGGUGUGACGCAUAUUUAGCUUAUGUGUGGANNNNNNNNNNNNNNNNNNNNNNNNNGAUCUUCCAGGCAUGCCGCCUGAUAAAGAUAUUGAUUUUGGCAUUGAUCUGUUGCCAGGCACUCAACCCAUUUCUAUUCCUCCAUAUCGUAUGGCUCCUCCUGAGUUGAAGGAGUUGCAGGAUCAGUUAUAGGAAUUGCUUGAUAAGGAUUUUAUUCGGCCUAGUGUAUCACUUUGGGGUGCUCCCGUCUUGUUUGUGAAGAAAAAAGAUGGUUCUAUGCGUAUGUGUAUUGAUUAUUGUCAGAACAAGGUUACAGUGAGGAACUGUUAUCCUUUGCCUCGUAUUGAUGAUCUGUUUGACCAGCUUUAGGGCGCACGAGUGUUUUCUAAGAUUGACUUGCGCUCAGGUUACCAUCAGUUGAAGAUUUGGGAGCCCGAUAUACCAAAGACUACUUUCAGGACUUGGUAUGGUCAUUACGAGUUCCUUGUUAUGUCAUUUGGGCUAACCAAUGCCCCAGCAGCCUUUAUGCAUUUGAUGCAUAGUGUGUUCCAUCCAUAUCUUGACUCGUUUGUCAUUGUCUUUAUUGAUAAUAUUCUGGUGUAUUCCCGGAGUCGGGAAGAUCAUGAGCAUCACCUGAGGACAGUGCUUCAGACCUUGAGAGAAAAGAAGUUUUAUGCUAAGUUCUCGAAAUGUGAGUUUUGGUUGGAUUCCGUGGCAUUCUUAGGCCACAUGGUGUCGAGUGAGGGUAUUCAGGUGGAUCCGAAGAAAGUAGAGGCCAUGUAGAGUUGGCCCAGACCAUCCUCAGCUACAGAAAUUCGUAGUUUUCUCGGCUUGGCGGGUUACUGCCGUCGAUUUGUGGAGGAGUUUUCAUCGAUUGCAGCCCCUAUGACCCGACUAACCCAGAAGGGUGCUCCGUUCAAGUGAACAGAAGAGUGUGAGGCAAGCUUUCACAAGCUCAAGAUGGCUUUGAGUACAACCCCAAUUUUGAUAUUUCUUAUAGGUUCGGGGUCUUACACUGUCUAUUGUAAUGCCUCGAGGAUUGGCCUUGGAGCGAUUUUGAUGCAUGACGGUAGGGUGAUUGCCUACGCAUCCAGACAGUUGAAGGUUCACGAGAAGAAUUAUCCAGUCUACGACCUUGAGUUAGCUGCCAUUGUUCACGCCCUUAAGAUCUGGCAUCAUUAUUUGUAUGGUGUCCCUUUGAGAUUUAUACUAAUCAUCGGAGCUUGCAGCACAUGUUCAAGCAAAAGGAUCUAAAUUUGCGCUAGAGGAGAUGGUUAGAGUUACUGAAGGACUAUGAUAUCACUAUUUUGUAUCACCCGGGCAAGGCCAAUGUGGUGGCCGAUGCCUUGAGUUGCCGGGCAGAGAGUUUGGGGAGUUUGGCUUAUUUACCAGCAUCGGAGAGGCCUAUGGCGGUGGAUGUUCAGGCCUUAGCCAGCCAGUUUGUGAGAUUGGAUCUUUCGGAGCCCAGUCAGGUUCAAGCUUGCGUGGUUUCUCGAUCUUCCGUAUUUGAUCGUAUCAGGGAGCGUCAGUAUGAUGACAAUCAUUUGCUUAUCCUCAAGGACAAGGUUCAGCAUGGUGAUGCCAGAGAUGUGACCAUUAGUGAUGACGGGGUAUUGAGGAUGCAGGGUCGAAUUUGUGUACCCAAUGUUGAUGGGCUUCGGGAGUUUAUUCUGGAUGAGGCCUAUAGUUCGCGGUAUUCCAUUCAUCCAGGUGCCGUGAAGAUGUAUUAGGAUUUGAGACAGUACUACUGGUGGAGGUGGAUAAAGAAAGAUAUAGUUGGAUUUGUAGCUCGGUGCCUCAAGUGUCAGCAGGUGAAGUAUGAGCACCAGAGACAGCGUGGGUUGCUUCAGCAGAUAGAGAUCCUGGAGUAGAAGUGGGAGGAGAUCACCAUGGACUUUGUAGUUGGGAUCAUAUGGACUUUGAGAAAGUUCGAUGCUAUUUGGGUGAUUGUGGAUCAGCUGACCAAGUUCGCGCACUUCAUUCCUGAGUGUACUACCUAUUCUUCGGAGUAUCUAGCGGAGAUUUAUAUCCGGGAGAUUAUUUGUCUGCAUGGUAUUCCAGUUUCCAUCAUUUCAGACAGGGGUACUCAAUUCAUAUCACGGUUCUGAAGGGCCCUUCAGCAUGAGUUGGGUACUCGGGUGAAGUUGAGUACAAUAUUUCACCCUCAGACGGACGGACAGUCCGAGCGCACUAUUCAUAUUCUUGAGGAUAUGCUCCGUGUGUGUGUGAUUGAGUUUGGAGGGUCUUGGGAUCAGUUCUUUCCAUUGGCGGAAUUUGCCUACAACAACAACUAUCAGUUCAGAUGGCACCAUAUGAGUCUUUAUAUGGUAGGCGGUGUAGAGCCCCGGUGGGUUGGUUUGAGCCAGGCGAGGCUAGAUUAUUGGGCACAGACUUGGUUCAAGAUGCUUUGGAGAAGGUCAAGGUGAUUCAGGAUAGACUCUGUACAGCCCAAUCUCGAUAGAAAAGUUACACGGACCGGAAGGUUUAUGACAUUUCCUAUAUGGUUGGAGAGCAGGUUCUGCUUCGGGUUUCGCCUAUAAAGGACGUUAUGAGAUUUGGGAAGAACGGGAAGUUGAGUCCGAGAUUUAUUGGCCCUUUUAAGGUGUUGAGGCGUGUUGGGGAGGUUGCUUAUGAGCUUGCCUUACCUCCCAGCUUGGCAGGAGUUCAUCCAGUAAUUCAUGUUUCGAUGCUUCGUAGGUAUCACAGUGAUCCGUCACACGUGUUGGAUUUCAGUUCAGUCAAGUUUGACAAGGAUCUAUCCUAUGUUGAGGAGCUAGUGGCAAUAUUGGACAGGCAGGUUAGAAAGUUGAUGUCAAAGAACAUUGCAUCAGUGAAGGUUCAGUGGUGGGGAUAGUCGGUCGAGGAGGCGACCUAGGAGACCGAGCAGGAUAUACGCAGCUGUUACCCUCAUCUUUCACUACUUCAGGUAUGUCUCUAUGCUCAUUUGAGGAUGAACGAAUGUUUAAGUAUAGGAGGAUGUGACGACCUGACUGGUCAUCUUAAGAAUUAACGCCCCGAUCCCCUAUUAACUGCUUCCCCCGGCUUUAUUUCUGCUAUUUUGAUUCGCCGGGAUAUUCAGUUUUGAGUUUCGGAGAGUUUUGGGACACUUAGUCCCUAAAUGGGAGCAUAGGUUUGGGAAAUUUGACCAUAGUCGGAACAGUAUAAAGACGGCCUCGGAAUGGAAUUUUAAUGGUUCCGUUAUAGCUCCGUUGGGUGAUUUUGUGUUUAUGUGCAUGUUCGGAUUAUUUUUUGGAGGUCAAUAGCUAAUUUAGGCUUGAAAUGCCGAAAGUCGAAUUUUGAAGUUUCUGGUUCGAAAGUGAGAUUUUGAUCCGAGGGUCGGAAUGGAAUUCUGGAAGUUAGAGUAGCUUUGUAGUAUUGAAUGUGACGUGUGUGCAAAAUUUCAGGUCAUUCGGAUGAGGGUUGAUAGACUUUUUGAUUGAAAGCGUAUUUUAGAGUUUUGGAGUUCAUAGGCUUGAGUCCGCGGUUGAUUUCGAUGUUAUUUUAGGUGUUUUAAGGAUUGGUAUAAGUUUGGAAAGUGGUAUUGGACUUGUUGGUGCCUUUGGUUGAGGUCUUGGGAUGGUUUAGGGAGGUUGUCGGAAGAAUUUGGAAUUCUUUGAGCAGCUUCAGCUGCUAGUCUUCUAUCAUAACCACACAUGCGGUUGGGUCCCGCAGGUGCAUAGCCGCAGAAGCAGAAAUUGCCAUCGUAGAAGCAGAAAUGGGGAGGAAAAACAGGAGCCGUAGAAGCGGGAGAAUUUCCACAGGAAUGGUACCGCAUCUGCGAAUGGGUAGCGCAGGUGCGGAAACAGGCUAAGUUAGUAAUUGUCACAUAUGCGACCGUUGGUCCACAAAAGGAGGACCGCAGGUGCGCUCCCAUGACCGCAGAAGCGGUUUAGCUGGGCAGAAACAUAUAAAUUCUUGCCUUUGCGAAUUUUAGCUAUUUUCACCUCUUUUCAAACAGGACGAAGCCUUGAGGAGCAUUUUCAAGGGAGAUUUUCAGAGGAGUUCAUUGGGGUAAGGUCUUUGAUCCUUAAACUCGUUAUUGGGGUGAUUUUUAUCAUUAUAAACAUGAAAAUUUAAGGAAAAUCAGUGGUAAUUUGGGGGUUAGGGCUUGACUAAUUAGAGACCUUUGAGUGAUGAUUUGAGGGACCAUUUGAGGUCCGAUUUGGUACUUUUGGUAUGACUGAACUCGUGAGAGUGUGAGGAUUCUGGAAAUGUAAAUUUUACUUGAUUUUGAGACGUUGGACCGAGGGGCAUUUUGGUCAUUUUAACUAAUUUCGCACAUUAGCUUAGAAUUUAUUUGUAGAAUCAGUUACUUGAAGUGUUAUUUACAUUACGAAAUUGAAUUGAAUAGAUUUGGGUCAUUUGGAGUCGAGUACUCGUGGCAAGAGUGUGGUUUCGGAUUGAUUUGAGCUGGUUCAAGGUAAGUGGCUAGCCUAACCUUGUAUGGGGGACUUUUCCCUUAGGAUUUGGUAUAUUUGAUAAUUGAAAUGCCUUGUUCGUGAGGUUACUAGUGCGUAUUUGAGCUAAUUGUUGAAAAUCCGAUUUUCUUUAAGUAAUUUUAAUUGUGCUCCUUUUCCUGUUUUAUACUACUUGCAAUUUAAGCCUGUUGUUAGCUUAGAAAAGCAUGUUAAUUGACUAAAUUGCUUAUUUGCUUAAAAUGUCUUAAUUGCAUUAUGUGGAGCAUGUUAGGUUAGAUUUAUUUGUUUACUUGGUAAGAAAUUGAGCUUAAUUGAGUAUUCCUUGUGUUGUUGUUGUGUGUUUUACUUUGGGACUAUAGGACGGCAUCCCGGGAGAUCCCUAGCACGUAUAUUGAGGAUACCAAGUGAUCCUCGGGAUAUCAAGAGAUCCCUAGCAUAUAUUGAGGAUAUCGAGAGAUCCUCGGGAUACCAAGAGAUCCCUAGAAUAUAUUGAGGAUACCGAGAGAUCCUCGGGAUACUAAGAGAUCCCCGAUAUAUAUUUAGGGUACUAAGAGAUCCCCGGUUAUUAUCCUUGUGAAGAGUGGUAUUUCCUUAUGACUGUUUUUGCCUCUGUUUCAGUUAUUGAGUUACUUAUUUUCCUAUAUUAAAUUCUUAUUGUUAGCUUUCAACUGUACUGCUUAUCUUAUUCUGUCAUACCUUAUAUUUUUAUUCUAUCUUAGUAGGGCCCUGACCUUCCUCGUCACUACCCGACCGAGGUUAGGCUGGCACUUACUGAGUACCGUUGUGGUGUACUCAUGCCGUUUCUGCGCAUGUUUUUCAUGUGUAGAUCCAGGUACUUCGACCCAGUCCUAUCACCCUUGAGGCGAGGCGACUGCUCCAGAAACUUCGAGGUAUAUCUGCCGCGUCCGUAGACCGAGGAGUCCCUUUCCAUUCUAUCUUGUCGUGAUAGCCCUUCUAUCUUUUCUGUUGAUGUAGACAUUCCGCAGUUAGAGCAUAUUUAUUAUAUUCGUAGCUUGUGAUUCAUGGAUUUUCGGGUUUUGCAAAAAAUCAUUAGUAUUUGAGAGUUAAUAUUGUGUAUGCCGAGCGACACUUUUAAACGUUGUUUUAUUACUCUAUUUCUGUUUUAAAUUAUUUUCUUCCUCAAAUUGGUUUAUCUUCCACAUUUUAGGCUUAUCUAGUCGUAGAGACUAGGUGCCAUCAUGAUGGUUCACGGAGGGCGAACCGGGGUCGUGACACUACAACAGCAAUAUCGAGAGAUGAGAUUUAAAAAGUAUUCUGAACUUAUCUCACAUCUUCUUAUAGCCGAGCAACAUAAUGGGCUAUUAAUGAAAAAUCAUGAAAACCGACCUAUUGGUUCUUGUCCAUUCCUUGAAGUGAAUGAGACGAACUUCCACCAAGCUAGACGUGGAAGGGGCCGUGGCCCCAGUCGUGGUCAUGGCCGUGGUCGAGGAAGAAAUUUUAAUCAUGGUAAUAAUAAUGCACCAAAGAACCCUCCUCACCACCAGCAGUGGAAAAGGAAGGAACAGAAGCAUGAAGCGGUGCAAGCACCAAAUGCAGAAAAUGCAUGCUAUAGAUGUGGAGGAAAAGGGCACUGGUCAUGUACCUGUCGUACGCCAAAGCACCUGGUUGAGCUUUAUCAAGCCUCCUUGAAGAAGACAGAGAAAAAUGCUGAAGCAAAUUUUAUUUCUGAAGAUAAUUUAGACUUCAUGCAUUUGGAUGUAGCUGAUUACCUUGCACUCCCAGUAGGAGAAACAAGUCAUGUAAUCGGUGGUGAAUCUGUAAAAAUGUAAAUAUUUUAAUUUUUGUUGUUUGUAAUAGAUAGUAUGGUUAUGUAAUUGUUGUACAUAAAGAAAAAUUAUGAUCUGAUAAUGAUGUUUACUAUAAUAUAUCUUAUUUAUGUCAUUUUGAAGAAUAUGGAUAACAUUAUUAGAUCAACUUAAAUUCUAGCAGAGUUUGCAGGAAAUAUACAACCACCAGAAGUGGUUAUAUUUCGUAUAUCUCAUUUAAAAUUCUGGUUUACUAUGGCAUAAACUUUUGCAUUAGUAAACUUCUAAUUUACCGUGACUGCUUUUGUAUUAGUAAACUUCUGAUUUACUGUGAUACAUGAUAUAAUAUAAAAAUUGAAGAAUAAGGCGGGUAACUUCUCACAUACAUAUUAUUUUACCUCCUACGAUUGUGGAAACAUGAAGAUUUUCAAUCUUUCAGUCAUUUGUAGUCUCAAUAUGACAACCAUUUGUAUUAGUAAACUUCAGGUUUAAUACAACAUAUAUUUUGACCAUAAUCAUAUAAUAUAAAUGACAUAUUUGUGUAUAAGAUCUUCGAGAGCCUUCAUUUAUUAUCCACAAUCUAAUAUUUAUCGGACACUACUGGUGUCAUGUGUCUUCUAGGCAAAUAGUUAGCUCUUCAGGAGUUGUUGAUACAUUUUGUACUAUCAAAUAUUGCUCAUACACUUCUGGUAUCAUAAGAGAAAAUCACAAUCAAAUAAACAAUGUAAAACAAUUGUUUAAGCAUGAGAAACUCUUCUUCAUAAUAUUCUCCUACUUCAGGAAGCAAUUUCAAUUGUGUUACUUCUUCAGGAGUAAAUUCAAAAUACGAAAUAUUGAAUAUAUAUUCUCUUAAUUAUAUUACCUCUUUGGAGGUGAAUUGUAAUAUAUUCACAUCAAGAGCGUGUUCAUAUUUACCAGAUUUAUUAAUAUUGCCACAUUCACUUCAGGGAAUGGAUUAAUAAUAUCAAAAGUUCUCAUUCUUCAGGAAAUCGAACAUAAUUAUCUGAAUGCGCAUUAAUCACAUCAAAUUGUGAUGCCUCAACAUAUUAAAAUAUUUACUACUUCAGGAGUAAAUCGAGGCAUGCAUUUAAUAUAGAGAAUAUUUAUGUAGGUUAUCUUCAAUUGUAACCAUAGAAAGCCUAAAUUAUCACUUCUGGUGAUCAUAGACAUAUACCACUUCUGGUGGUUAACAAAAUAUAAUUUACUAAGAGAUAGCACAUGCCAUGAUAAACUUGAAGUUUUCAUUUGCCAUUUUUGAAUGAGCUAUUCAAGAAUUCAGAUAAGCAUAUAUUGAAGAACUAUAAGAUUCUUCAAGAAUUCUCCUAUGUUGCUUGUUCUCAUAAUAAAUUGAUUAUACCAACUAAAGUUGGGACUAAGACCCCUGAUACUGAAAUAUAUAAAAGGUGAAUAUGGGCCCAUUCACAUAUCAUGUGAACCACUUAUAGAUGCAUAUAUAAGAUGGUUACAUCUAUGUUUAUUGUCAACCUGCAAUUUGGCAUUUUAGAUUACUUUUCUCAGUUAAGAGCAUAACUUUCAGAUUAUGAAAUCAAGACAGUUCAUCUUGAUAGUGUUGGUUUAUAUCCAAGCUGGUUUAACAUUGAAUACCUCCUACUAAUGGCUAAACUAUUGCUUAUGAGAACAAAACAUCAUGUGUUGGUCUAAGAUAUUCUAAAUUGCAUACAGCAACACUUGUAUGCAUCAGACCAACAAUAUAUGAAAAAGUCCUCCCUUCACAAUUGGUUUAGGAUCAGAAAUCAAAUAUUUUUACUAUCUUUUGAUGUGGGGUAUAUGAUUAAUUUCUCUACCACAAUACACAAAGAUAUGUUUCCCAAAGAAGAUUGAGGAUAUAUGUUAAUUUUUCUAAAAUUUGGGGGAUGGAAUAAACAGCUGAAAAAUAUGAUCGAUUUAUCAUUAAUAUGAUCCUCACUUAGAAGAUAAUUCAAGACAAAUGCCUGAAGCAUUUGCUGAUCCAAAAUUGUCACGACCCUAAACCUGAACCUAGUCGUGAUGGAGCCUCUCCUGAAGAUAAGGCCAGCCAAUUAAACACAAUUCACUUUUAAACAGUUAAAUAACAUAAAAGCAGCCUAAAACAUGAUAUAGCAAUACUAAGUAGCGGAUAGUGUCAAUAAAGUGCGGAAGUACAACCCAACACAACCCUAACCGGGGUGUCACUAGUCAUGAGCAUCUAUAAAACCCAAUACAAGUUUGAAAGGUCUACAACUAGUACAAAAGUCUGAUAUGAGAUAGAAAUAAUAAGGAGGGAAAAACACGGGUCUGUGGACGUCAAGCAGCUACCUCGUGAACUCUGAAUGUCCGCUGGGAGCUCUCAACUCACACUGGCAGGAUCAGCAACGCCUGAAUCUGCAUACAGGGGUGCAAGGAGUAAAGUGAGUACUCCAACUCAGUGAGUAACAAAUGUAAAUAAUGACUGAAAGUAAGAAAACACGUAAGGCACAAGACAUUCUAUAAUGAAGUAGUGAAAACAUUUAAAAGCAGUAAGACAGUGAAAAGUCAAGUAAAAUCUUAUUUCAACAAGUAAACAAGUAAUUGACAGGCAAUUAAGGUAAAGUAAACAAAUAGAAGUUCGCCUCUCGGGCACAGUAUCAAAAAAUCCGCCCUUCGAGCAACAUCUCCGAACAAUACCAGCCCCUCGGGCUCAAUCUCACAUCACAAUGGGUAACGGCGCUCACUGGGGGUGUGCAGAUUCCUGGAGGGGCCCCUUACGGUCCAAGCGCAACAUCAAACCAUCUCGUGGCAUCAAAUCUAGGCCCUCGGCCUCAUAUCAAUCAAUCCACCUCGUGGCGUAUAUAUCUCAGGCCCUCGGCCUCAAAUCAGUAUCAGUGUUUCCUCUCAACUAGGCCCUCGGUCUUACUCAGUCAAAAAUACUCACAAGCCCCUCGGGCACUAGUAAAAUAGUGUUUCUCAACCCAAACAAUAUUUAAAAUAUCAUUUAAGUCUUAAAACUAAGUAAACAUGGCUGGGUAUGAAAAAUAGUGAAAAAAUAACAUGACUGAGUUCAAGUAUAAAGUCAAAACAGUGAGGAAAUAUCAAUAAAAAUCCCCGAAGGGUUCAAAUAGUUGGCACUAGGCCCAAAUAUGGCAUUCAACCUAGAUAAUGAUGAUAGCAAAUUGUUUUCAAUCAAAUACGCGGUAAAAUCAUCAAUCGAGACGAACCAAGUCACAAUCCCCAAUAGUGCACGACCCCACGCUCUUCAUCAAGUGUGUUCCUCACCUCAAUAUAGCACUACGAUGUGCAAAUUCGGGGUUUCAAACACUCAGAACAUCAUUUACAAUCAUUACUCACCUCAAACCAGCUAAAUCUCUAGCUCGCGACGCCUUUGCCCCUUGAAUCGGCCUCCACGUGCGUCGAAUCUAUCCAAAAUCAGAACGAGUGCGUCAACAUAUGCUAAGGAAACAAAGCCCAAGCGAAAACAAUCAACAAAGGGCACAAAUCCCGAAAUUACCAAAACCCGACCCCCAAGCCCACUUCUCGAAAUUUGAAAAUUUUCAUGUCAAUAGGUUCCUUAUCUCCCCACGAGUUCAUACAUAUCAAAAGUUCUCAAAUCCGAUCCCAAAUGGUCCUUCAAAACCACAAUUUAAGGCCUAAGUUCUCAAGCCCUAGUUUCCCCAAUUUUAACCUUUUAUUUCCAUAAUUUCUAGCCCUAAUCCAUGAAAUAAUAGAAUAGGAACGGGUUUUUGGUCCAAAUUCCUUACCUCAAUGAAGUUCUCUUGAAAUCCCCCUCUCAAAUCGCCCAAGAAGCUCCCAAGCCGAAGUCAAAAAUGGUGAAAAAACCCAAAAUUUACGAAGGACUCUUUUUAAUUCUUCUGCCCAGUUGUUCCGCAUCUGCGGCCAAAUCGCCGCUUCUGCGGUACCGCAUUUGCGGCAAAUCCUCUGCUUCUGCAGAAUUCACUUAAGAGCCCAAAAGUCGCAUCUGCGAUACACCUUCCGUAUCUGCGACUUCGCGAUGCGGCCAUCCUGACCGCUUCUGCGGUCCCUGACAAAUCCUCCUAGUCCGCUUCUGCGGCCACUCCAACGCAUAAGCGGCGCCGCACCUGCGGUCCCCAAACCGCAGGUGUGAAAACACCAGAAGCAGCAAAACUUCAACAACUGCAAUAACAUCUCAACUCCUCCGUAAACCAUCCAAAAUCACCACGAGCUCCCCGGGACUUCAACCAAAAGCACAAACAUAUCCUAAUACCUUAUUCAAACUUGUUCCAAUCAUCAAAACAUCUCAAACAACAUCAAAUCACCCAAAACACAUCGGAUUAAAGCCUAAGUUUCAAAAUCUUCUGAAAUACGCUUUUGAUCAAAAACCCAACCAAACCACGUCUGAAUGACCUAAAAUUUUACACACAUCCCAAAUGACACGACAGAGCUAUUGUAACUCUCAAAAUCCCAUUCUGACCCCUUUAUCAAAAUCUCGCCUACCAACCGAAAAUUGCCAAAAUAUUAACUUCGCCAAUUCAAGCCUAAAGCUACUCCAACCCUCCAAAACUCAUUCUGAUCAUGCUCCUAAGCCAUAAAUCUCCUAUCAAAGCUAAUCGAACCAUCAGAACUUACAUCCGAGUCCUCUAACACAUAAGUCAACAUCCGGUUGACUUUUCCAACUCAAACUCCCUUACAAGAGACUAAGUGUCUCAAACCUUACCAAAAUCAUUCCGAAUUCGAUCCGACCAACCCAAUACCAUAAAACAUGAAUAACCAGGCAUAAAGAAGUAGAAAUGGGGGAAACAGAGCAGUAACUCAUGAGAAGACUGGUCUGGUCAUCACAUCCUCCCCAAUUUAAACAAACGUUUGUCCGCGAAUGAAUCAAUAAACAUACCUGAAGCCUUAAACAGGUGAGGAUAUCUGCUCCUCAUCUCCCGCUCGGUCUCCCAGGUAGCCUCCUCCAUGGGCUGACCUCUCCACUGCACCUUCACUGAAGCUAUAUCCUUUGAUCUCAACUUUCGAACCUGUCGACCCAAAAUAGCUACUGGCUCCACAUCAAAGGUCAAAUCAUCAUCCAACUGAACCGUGCUGAAAUCCAGAACAUGGGACGGAUCCCCAAUAUACUUCCUGAGCAUAGAAACAUGAAAUACCGGAUGUAUACUCGACAGGCUGGGUGGCAAAUCAAGAUCAUACGCCACCUCCCCAAUCCUCCGAAGCACCUCAAAAGGCCCAAUGAACCGAUGACUCAAUUUCCCUUUCUUUCCAAACCUCAUAACACCCUUCAUAGGUGAAACUUUCAACAGUACUUUCUCGCCAACCAUGUAGGACACAUCUCAGACCUUUCUAUCAGUAUAACUUUUUUGUCUCGAUUGCGCUGUACGAAGCCUCUCCUGAAUCACCUUUACCUUCUCCAAAGCAUCUUGCACCAAAUCAGUCCCCAAUAGCCAAGCCCCACUGGGCUCGAACCAACCAACUGAAGACCUACACCGCCUCCCAUACAAAGCCUCAUAUGGAGCCAUCUGAAUACUCGACUGGUAGCGGUUGUUAAAAGCAAACUCUGCAAAUGGUCGAAACUGAUCCCAUGAGCCUCCGAAAUCAAUGACACAAGCACGUAACAUGUCCUCCAAUACCUGAAUAGUACGCUCGAACUGCCCGCCCGUCUAAGGAUGAAAAGCUGUGCUGAACUCCACCUGAGUACCCAACUCUCUCUGCACGGCCCUCCAAAACUGCGAAGUAAACUGAGUACCUCUCUCUGAAAUGAUGGAAACUGGGACACCAUGCAAGCGAAUGAUCUCUCGAAUAUAUAUCCCUGCCAACCGCUCUGAAGAAUAGGUAGUACACACAGGAAUGAAGUGCGCGGACUUGGUCAGCCGAUGCACAAUCACCUAUAUGGCAUCGAACUUUUUCAAAGUCCGUGAAAGUCCAACAACAAAGUCCAUAGUGAUCCUCUCCCACUUCCACUCAGGAAUAUCCAUCUGUUGAAGCAAGCCACCCGGUCUCUGAUGCUCAUAUUUUACCUGUUGGCAAUUGAGACACCGAGCUACGAAUCCCACAAUAUCUUUUUUCAUUCUCCGCCACCAAUAGUGUUUCCUCAAAUCCUGAUACAUCUUUGCGGCACCUAGAUGAAUGGAAUACCGCAAGUUAUGGGCCUCCUCCAGAAUCAACUCCCGAAGUCCAUCCACAUUGGGCACACAAAUCCGGCCCUGCAUCUUCAACACCCCAUCAUCUCCAAUGGUCACAUCUCUAGCAUCAUCAUACUGAACUCUCUCCUUAAGGACAAGCAAAUGCGGAUCAUCAUACUGGCGCUAUCAUAUAAAGAAGACCGAGAGACCACACAAGCCAAUACCCGACAUGGCUCUGAAAUAUCUAACCUCACGAACCGAUUAGCCAAGGCCUAAACAUCAACUGCAAGAGGUCUUUCCCCAACCAGAACAUAUGCCAAACUUCCCAUACUCACUGCCUUCCGGCUCAAAGCAUCGGCCACCACAUUGGCCUUUCUCGGAUGGUACAAUAUAAUGAUAUCAUAAUCCUUAAGCAACUCCAACCAUCUCCGCUGCCUCAAAUUAAGAUCCUUUUGCUUGAACAAAUGCUGAAGACUGCGAUGAUUAGUGAAAAUCUCACAAGAUACGCCAUAUAAGUAAUGCCUCCAAAUCUUCAAUGUGUGAACAAUGGCAGCCAACUCCAAAUCGUGAACGGGGUAGUUCUUCUCAUGGGGCUUCAAUUGACGAGAAACAUAAGCAAUAACUCUACCCUCAUGCAUCAAUACACAACCAAUCCCAACUCUCGAAGCAUAACAAUACACCGUAUAUGAAUCUGAAGCUGAUGGCAAAACCAACACUGGAGUUGUUGUCAAAGUUGUCUUGAGCUUCUGAAAGCUCUCCUCACACUUGUCCGACCAUACAAAUGAGGCACCCUUCUAAGUCAACUUGGUUAAGGUCAAUGCGAUAGAUGAGAAUCCCUGAUCAAACCGGCAAUAAUAGCCUGCCAAACCAAGAAAGCUACGAAUCUCAAUGGCUAAGAAUGGUCUAGGCCAACUCUGAACCGCCUAUAUCUUCUUCGGAUCAACCUGAAUACCCUCACUGGAUACCACGUGCCCCAAGAAAGCCACUAAACUGAGUCAAAACUCACACUUGGAGAAUUUUGCAUAAAGCUUCUCCUCCCUCAAUCUCUGCAACUCAAACCUCAAAUGCUCUGUGUGCUCCUCCUAACUAUGUGAAUACACCAGAAUAUCAUCAAUGAAGACUAUGACAAACGAAUCGAGAUAAAUCUGGAACACGAUGUUCAUCAAAUGCAUGAACGUUACUGGGGCAUUGGUCAGCCCAAAAGACAUCACCAAGAACUCAUAAUGACCAUAACGGGUCCAGAAAGCCGUCUUAAGAAUAUUCGAGUCCCUGAUCUUCAACUAGUGAUAGCCUAAACGGAGAUCAAUCUUGGAGAACACCCUCGCUCCCUAUGGUCAAAUAAAUCAUCAAUGCGAGGCAAAGGGUACUUGUUCUUAAUUGUUAUUGUUCAAUUGCCUAUAAUCAAUGCACAUCCUCAUUGUGUCAUCCUACUAUUGCCUAUAAUCAAUGCACAUCCUCAUUGUGCCAUCCUACUUCUUCACAAAUAGAACCGGCGCACCCCAAGGUGACGCACUAGGCCGAAUAAACCCCUUAUCUAGGAGUUCCUGAAGCUGCUUCUUGAAUUCUUUCAACUCCGCCGGUGCCAUAAAAUACAGCGAAAUAGAAAUGGGCUGAGUGUCCUGCACCAGGUCAAUACCAAAAUCAAUAUCCCUGUCUGGGGGCAUGCCCGACAGGUCUGCAGGAAACACAUCGGAAAAAUCCCUCACAACUGGGAUAGAAUCAGUACUGGGAGCCUCAACUCCGACAUCCCUCACAAACGCUAGAUGUGAAAGACAACCCUUCCCAACCAUAUGUUGGGCUUUCAAGAAUGAGAUCACUCUAAUGGCAACAUAAUUAGUCACACCUCACCACUCAAUCUGUGGCACACCCGGCAUAGCCAAUAUGAUUGUCUUAGCAUGACAGUCCAGAAUAGCACUACACGGAGAUAACCAAUCCAUGCCCAAAAUGAUAUCAAAAUCCACUAUGCUCAAUAGUAAUAAAUCCACUCAGGUCUCCAGACCCCCAAUAGUCACCAUACACAACCGGUACAUAGGGUCUACAACAACAGUAUCGCCCACCGAGGUAGAUACAUGAACAAGUAAAGCAAGAAACUCACGGGGCGUACCCAAAUAACAAGCAAAGUAUGAUGACACAUAAGAAAAGGUGGAACCAGGAUCAAAUAAUACAGAGGUAUCUCUGUGACAGACUGAGACAAUACCUGUAAUGACAGCAUCUGAAGCAAUAGCAUCGGGUCUGCCUGGGAGUGCAUAGAAACAGGCCUGACCGCCCCUGAUCGACAUCCCCCUAUGGGGUGACCCCUAAAUGACUGACCUCCACCCCUAUCUGGCAGAGCGGGUGGUGAUGAAGCAACUGGCGCUAAAGCCGAUAACUGACCCCUCUGCUGGGAUGAACUAGCAAAACAAUGAGGACACUACCUCCAUAUGUGACCCAUCUCACCACACUCAUAACAACUCCCAGGUGCUGGAGAAAGGGGAUUGAAGGAACCCCUCACACCGGAGUGACUAGCAGAUGCACUCGGCAUAGAAGAUCCCUGGACUGAUGGAGCACGGGUCGAACUCUAAGCAGGAAGGGCACUAAGUAAAGACUGGCCCUGCUGAGAACUGUGAUAACCAUGACCCGAAGACGCCCCACGAUAACCUAGGCAAGCUGGCUGAGCAGGCCUGAAUGGACGGCCUCUACUAUGCUAAAACUGGCCCCUCAAAGGAGCACCACUAUAGCUGCCAGAUCCUUACGGCCUCUUUGUCUCCCUCUCCUCUCGCUCCUGACAACGAGUAGACUCAAUCUCAUGUGCAAUAUUCACAACCUCCUCGAAAGUAGCACCAGAUACCCUCUCCCUAGUUAUAAGAAUACGGAGCUGAUAAGUAAGACCAUCAACAAACCUCCUGAUCCUUACUCUAUCUGUCGGGACCAACCAAAUGGCAUGACGAUCCAACUUAGAAAACCUCAACUCAUACUACGACACAGUCAUCUCCCCCUAACGCAACCACUCAAGCUGCUUGUGCAGCUCCUCUCUGCGAGACUUCGGCUCAUACUUCUCCAGAAAGAGAACGGAGAACUGCUGCUAGGUAAGGGGUGCUGCACCAACAGGCCUACACCUCUCAAAAUCCUCGCACCAAGUGAAAGUAGCUCAUGAAAAGUGAUAAGUGGUAAAAGCGACCCCGCUGGUCUCCAGAAUACCUGUUGUACGAAGCAUCCUCUGACACAUGACCAGAAAACCCUAGGCAUCCUCGCCCUCUGCACCACUGAAUGACGGAGGUUGUAGUCUACCAAACCUCUCCAACCACACUGCUUGUCCUCCGGCAUGGAAGGAACUACAUAGUCCUGAGCAGCUGCAACCGGCUGGGCUGGAUGCGCCCCCGGUGUCUAAAGUCCCUGUACGACCUGCUCAGGUGUGCGAGCGGCGGGAGUCUGAUUACCUCCCCUGGCCUGAGAAGUAGCUGCGGCUGUAGCGGCUAAAACCGCCUGAGCCAGGCCAGUGCAAACGGAUAAGAUCUGUGACAAGGCCUCUUGAAGACCCGGAAUCACGAUGGGCACAACUGGUGCCUGAACUGGUGCUGCUGGAGCAUCUUUAGCUGAAGUCUGAUCCUGAGCUAGGGCAGCUGAUGGAUCUACAAGUGAUGCCCUCUCUGCUCUGCCUCUACCACGAUCACGACCACAUCCUCGGCCUUUGGUGUCCACAACUGGUGGUACUGGGGGUCGUCUACCUCGACCAGUAGCACGUGUCCUCACCAUUUGUGAGAGAAUAGAAUAACAGAAGUUUAGUACUUAGAUCAACAAGUUCGCACGACAAGAAUUUCAAGGAUAUGAAGUUUUUCCUAAAGGUUCUGCAGCCUCUCGAAGAUAAAUACAGAUGUCUCUGUACCGAUCCGUGAGACUCUACUAAACAUGCUCACGACUCGUGAGACCUAUGUAACCUAGGUUUUGAUACUAACUUGUCACGACCCUAAACCCGAACCCGAUCGUGAUGGCGCCUCUUGUGAAGUCAAGGCCAGCCAAUUAAACCCAAUUAACUUUUUAAACAGUUAAAUAACAUGAAAGCAGUCUAAAACAUGAUAUAUCAAUACUAAGUAGUGGAUAGUGUCAAUAAAGUGCGGAGGUAUAACAUAACACAGCCCUAACCGGGGUGUCACUAGUCAUGAGCAUCUAUAAAACCCAAUACAAGUCUGAAAGGUCUACAACUUGUACAAAAGUCUGAUAUGAGAUAGAAAUGAUAAGGAGGGAGAAACACAGGUCUGCGGACGUCAAACAGCUACCUCGUGAACUCCGAAUGUCUGCUGGGAGCUCUCAACUCGCACUGGCAAGAUCAACAACGCCUGAAUCUGCACACAGGAGUGCAGGGAGUAAAGUGAGUACUCCAACUAAGUGAGUAACAAAUGUAAAUAACGUCUGAAAGUAAGAAAACAUAUAAGGCACAAGACAUUCUAUAAUGAAGCAGUGAAACCAUUUAAAAAUAGUAAGACAGUAAAAAGUCAAGUAAAAUCCUAUUUCAACAAGUAAAUAAGUAAUUGACAGGCAAUUAAGGCAAAAUAAACAAAUAGAAGUUCGCCUCUUGGGCAUAGUAUCAACAAAUCUGCCCAUCGGGCAACAACUCAGAACAAUACCAGCCCCUCAGGCUCAAUCUCACAUCACAAUGGGUACCCGCGCUCACUUGGGGUGUGCAGACUCUUGGAGGGGCCCCUUACGGCCCAAGUGCAAUAUCAAGCCAUCUCGUGGCAUCAAAUCUAGGCCAUCGGCCUCAUAUCAAUCAAGCCACCUCGUGGCGUAUAUAUCUCAGGCCCUCGGCCUCUGAUCAGUAUCAGUGUUUCCUCACAACUAGGCCCUUGGCCUUACUCAGUCAAAAAUACUCACAAGCCCCACGGGCAAUAGUAAAACAAUGUUUCUCAGCCCAAACAUCAUUUAAAAUAUCAUUUAAGUCUUAAAACUGAGUAAACAUGGCUAAGUAUGAAAAAUAGUGGAAAAAUAAUAUGACUGAGUUCAAGUAUAAAGUCAAAACAGUGAGGAAAUAUCAAUAAAAAUCCCCGAAGGGUUCAAAUAGUUGGCAUUAGGCCCAAAUAUGGCAUUUACCCAAAUAAUGAUGAUAGCAAAUAGUUUUCAAUCAAAUACGUGGUAAAAUCAUCAAUCGGGACGGACCAAGUCACAAUCCCCAAUAGUGCACGACCCCACGCUCGUCAUCAAGAGUGUGCCUCACCUCAAUAUAACACUAUAAUGUGCAAAUCCGGGGUUUCAAACCCUCAGAACAUCAUUUACAAUUAUUACUCACCUUGAACUGGCUAAAUCUCUAGCUCGCGACGCCNNNNNNNNNNNNNNNNNNNNNNNNNNNNNNNNNNNNNNNNNNNNNNNNNNNNNNNNNNNNNNNNNNNNNNNNNNNNNNNNNNNNNNNNNNNNNNNNNNNNNNNNNNNNNNNNNNNNNNNNNNNNNNNNNNNNNNNNNNNNNNNNNNNNNNNNNNNNNNNNNNNNNNNNNNNNNNNNNNNNNNNNNNNNNNNNNNNNNNNNNNNNNNNNNNNNNNNNNNNNNNNNNNNNNNNNNNNNNNNNNNNNNNNNNNNNNNNNNNNNNNNNNNNNNNNNNNNNNNNNNNNNNNNNNNNNNNNNNNNNNNNNNNNNNNNNNNNNNNNNNNNNNNNNNNNNNNNNNNNNNNNNNNNNNNNNNNNNNNNNNNNNNNNNNNNNNNNNNNNNNNNNNNNNNNNNNNNNNNNNNNNNNNNNNNNNNNNNNNNNNNNNNNNNNNNNNNNNNNNNNNNNNNNNNNNNNNNNNNNNNCACAUCAGAUUCAAGCCUAGGUUUCAAAAAUCUUUCGAAAUAUGCUUUUGAUCAAAAACCCAACCAAACCAUGUCCAAAUGACCUGAAAUUUUACACACACAUCCCAAAUGACACGCCGGAAUCUCAUUCCGAUCCCUAUAUCAAAAUCUCGCCUACCAACCGGAAAAUGCCAAAAUAUCAACUUCGCCAAUUCAAGCCUAAAGCUACUCCAACCCUCCAAAACCUAUUCCGAUCACGCUCUUAAGCCAUAAAUCACCUCCCAAAGCUAACCGAACCAUCAGAACUCGCAUUCGAGCCCUCUAACACAUAAGUCAACAUCCGGUUGUCUUUUCCAACUCAAACUCUCUUACAAGAGACUAAGUGUCUCAAACCUUACCAAAUCAUUCCGGAUUCGAUCCGACCAACCCGAUACCAUAAAACUCGGAUAAUGAAGCAUAAAAAAGUAGAAAUGGGGGAAACAAAGCGGUAAUUCAUGAGACGACUGGCCGGGUCGUCACAAAAAUUUAAUAUCAUAUUUCAGCUGCAAAUGCUCCUAUUAAAAUUAAAGUCCCUAAAGGAUAAAGUUUGUUGUACGCAUGGAGCGCAGUAGACCAAUCGGUUCCAAAGGUAACAAUACUUGAAAAAUGGUAGGAACUAAUGAUCAAAAUGAUCAUAAUGAGGAGGAAAUAAGCUCUAGAAGAGCCCACGACAUAACAUUUCAUGAUACUCCCGAAGAAGUUCAGGUACCUGAAAAUAAAGAAAGUGAUGAGAUCUCAACAAGUUAUGUCGCUUAGGAACUGACACAAAAUGAUCAUCGAUGAUAUAUUUGAUACAAUAUAGUGCAUAAUAUUGUAAAAGAUUGUGAGGAUCGGACCAGCAGUCCAGACACUUGAAGAUGUCAUACCAUUUAGAUACAAGUCUUAACCUAUAUGACUUAUUUGAUUAAAUCUAUAUGAAGAUACUUGAAGGAUUGAAAAUGCCUGAAGCAUAUAAUUUAAAGUCUUGAGAAAAUGUACUCGAAUCAAAUUAUAAAAUCUUUGUACGGUUUAAAGCAAUCAGUGCGCGUGUGGUAUAAUUGCCUCAGUAAAUAUUUAGUGAAAAAAAAAUUACAUAAAUGAUGUUAUUUGUCCAUGUAUUUUUAUAAAGAAAAUGUCAUCAGAAUUUGUUAUACUUUCUGUUUAUGUUAAUGACAUAAAAUUUGUUGGAACUCUAGAAGAGCUCCGAAAGGCAGUUGAAUAUCUUAAGAAAGAAUUUGAGAUGAAAGAUCUUGGAAAAAUAAAAAUUUGUCUUUGGUCUGCAAAUUGAAUAUUUAGCAGACGAGAUCUUUAUCUGUCAAUUCGCCUAUACAGAAAGGGUCUUUAAAUGAAUUUUCAUGGACAAAGCGCACCCAUUAAGUACAUCAAUGAGUGUUCGAUCACUUGAAGUGAAUAAGGAUUUGUUCCGACCUCCAGAAGAGGAUGAUGAACUCCUUGGUCCUGAAAUACUCUAUCUCAGUGUAAUUUUUAUGCAUUUAUAGGUGGUGCAGAUCAUAUUGGUUAUGCAGAUACAAGAUUAGAAUGCGGAGACUUAAAUAUUUGAAACAAGGUUUUCAUCACGGGAGUAAAAUACGCGGUGCACUCUUUUUUUCUUACUAAGGUUUUUUCCCGCAGGGUUUUCCUUAUAAGAUUUUUAAUAAGGCACCUAGCAAUGCGUAUUACUAAAUAUGUGUACUCUUUUUCCUUCACUAGAAUUUUUUCCCCACGUUUUCUCCUAGUAAGGUUUUAAUUAGGCACAUUAUCUUUUAAUGAACAUCCAAGAGAGAGUGUUAUUAAUAUAUUAUAUUAUGGAUGUUCAUUUAGUGCUCUGUUGUAAAUAAGCUUCCUGAAGAAGCUUAUCCAUAUGGGACUUCGCCGUAAAUAUAGUUAUCUAUUUAGUACUCUAUUGGAAAUAAGCCUUCUGAAGAAGCUUAUCACUUCGGUACUCGGUUAUGGAUAAACAUUACCCCCGGUAGAAGAUUAUCCAUAUCGGGUAUAAUAAGCUUAUCCUUUCGAUACUCUGUUAUGGAUAAACAUUAUGUCACGCCCCGAACUUGGGGGAGCGAGACCGGCACCCAGUGCCUUACCUAUCCUUGCGUACCAACUUGCAAUUAAGGGACUCUGAACAUAUGAUGUCAUACUUUUGGCCAUGAGCCACAUUGCAAGACAACAAUGAAUGUUGACUUAAUAUGAAUAUAAAACUUGGCCAACAAGGCCGUCAUAUUUAUUACAACUGAUAACCCAACCAAAUAUACAUACAAGGCCUGAAAGCCCAACAUACUGCACUAACUGACAAGAUAUGUCUACAAGCCUCUACUAAUGGAUAUACUGUGAUCGAAACGGCUAUCCGACCUACUCUUGACAUAUAUACAUAAGGCUCUAGACCCGGAAACUCCGAAAGACAUGGAGCUUACCGAUCAAGCUGAGCUCGGGCAACACUUAUUGAAGAAGCCUACUCGUUUGUCUGUCUGACCUGCACGCAUGAAAUGCAGCGCCCUCAAAAAAGGGACGUCAGUACGAAAUAAUGUACUGAGUAUGUAAGGCAAUAUACUGAAAGUUGAAACUAAACUGAUAAUAUAUUAACGGCAAGUAGCUGGAAGUCAAAGAUAAUUUGAAGAUAUGCUUACCUGCUGAUAUUGACUCAAUUCUCUCAAUAUAGUAAGUAAAAUAGUUGUCUGGCCCUAUAAGGCUCGGUAUACAUAUAUAUAUUCUGCUCUGCUGUAGUAGGCUCGCUCAUAAGCGCUCGGUCAUACUAGGCUUUGUAUAUCGACCAACUGGGCUCGCUCAUAAGUGCUCGACCACAGUAGGCUCGAUAUAUAUAUAACUGCUCUGCCAUAGUAGGCUCGUUCAUAAGUGCUCGACCAUAGUAGGCUCUGUAUCUCGACCAACUGGGCUCGCUCAUACGCGCUCGGCCACAGUAGGCUCGGUAUAUAGCUUACCAUCUGAUCAGAGGUUUCCCAAUAGGGGCUGCCCAUCGAUUAUAGCUCGAUGGUAAUAAAAAUACUUUUAAUACUAUAUAUAUGUAAUUUCUCUGUUCUCUUGACUAGAAGAAGGAAAUACUCAACUGAAUAUGAAAAUCCCGAUAAGGAGAAUAUUAUAACUUACAACACUAGAAAAAUAUAUGCAAUUUGCGAGACUAGCAAAAUAUACGUAAAUUUCAGGAUAUGAAUGUAAUGACGAGAUCAUGCCAAAUAAAAGAAGAGUUUAGCCUUAACAUACCUGGAUCGAUUCUCUUGAAAAUUCCUCUAACACACGUCUUGUGUGACGAACAUGUAAUAACGGAUUGAAGUAGGAAAAAAUCCGUAUGAUAUUCUUGAGAACGAUUAUACCGGACUUCGUUAGAAUUUCAAAA